This 53486-nucleotide long non-coding RNA is filed under the name Capsicum annuum. RNAcentral's name for it is "long non-coding RNA (CANN_LNC013154)". Lineage: Eukaryota; Viridiplantae; Streptophyta; Magnoliopsida; Solanales; Solanaceae. The record is from RNAcentral.
GGCUUUCAGCUAUCCAGUAUGCUUCUUGUCAAACUGUUAUCAUAAGUUGAAGAAAGCUUCUUUUUGACUACUACCCUUUUCUUGGGGCAAGGAUUGACUUAUUACAUUAGCCUCUCAUCUAGGAUGAAGAAUUUUUGGGCCUCUUCUCCAUUUCAAACAUGUGAAUACAAUUAUGUAAAAAUCUGAGCUAUUACAUAGGUGAACUAAUAAUGAUUGAAGUCCUAAGUUUGGGAUAAAAAUAGAGGUCAUUUGGGAGGUGGUGAGAUUAGAAUCUUUUUACUUUUUUACUUGUGUUUUGGUAUAAAGAGGACCUAGCAAUUGGCACUAUCUUGUUGAAAUAUUAGUGAGGAUUAAUCACACAAAAAAUGUCUGAGCUUGAUUAACACUUCUUGUGGCAGGCUGCCAUUGAAAAGGGUAAGAAUCCAGAGAAUGAUGAAGUCUCAUCUGCUGAAAAUUCAGCUGACGUUCCAGAUCAGGUUGAGUCAGUUAUUUCCCAGAUAAACAAUCUUGCCAUAUCUGCAAAUCCUGUAGUCCCUCCUUCAAAUUCAACCGAGUCUUCUGCCAUGGGAGAUGGUUUGCAGGACAUUGACAAAAAGAUCCGAGCUCUGAAGAAAAAGGUAUGUUCUCUAAUGCUUCUAGUUCUCUGAUGGCAUGCCAUCAUUCGAGAUCUAUGAAGUAAGUUUGAUGCAUCUUACAGCAUUUUAGAGAUAUUCUGGUAUCAUCUUUGUUUGCCAUGCCUUGGAAUUUAUUAUCUACUUCACAGUUGCAUGGUCAAAAAACUCUGUUUCAGUUUUGAUGUACUAAAUGGAUGAUUCAAUUUUGUUUCAAGGUAAUGAUGUGUUUUAUGCAUUCAUUUCUAAACCCAGAAUGGUAUGGUCCACUAAAUGUGUUGGUUUGAAACCAUGCCCUCCUCCAGCUACUCAUUUUAUAUGAUCUCUAAUUUGUUGUGUCCACCUUUAAAUAGCAUAUUUCAGUCCAAGGUGUUGCUUCCAUUUCAACACUUCCUGUCAAAUGUGAUAUGAGGAUUUUCAUUUGAUUUCUACUAAUAGUCGUAUAUUUCUAAAACUGCAGAUAUUUUGAAUCUGGUCAUUGGGAAAAAAACACUCUGCAGUUUUAGAAUGAUGUGGAUUUUUAUGAUCUGAGAAAAAAUAAAUAAAAUCAAUGUGGAUUUUUACACUGGUGAUUUAUCGGUACUACAUUCUUCUGAAACUUGAAGGUUCAAGAUGCAAUUACCCCUCUCUGCUACACUAACCCUGCUUAAUUUGGUGUAGAUCCGGCUGACAGAAGCUCAACAGCAGAAGACCGAAGAGAAGGACAUGAAGCCAGAGCAUCUGGAAAAAAUGGCUAAGCUGGAAAGCUGGCGAAAAGAGUUGAAGCUUUUGGAGGAUAAAAAGGCUGCAUUGGAAGCAGCAUCAUGAAUUUUAGGCUGAAGAAACACAGUUUAAAGCUACGCUAGCCUGGUGGGAUUUUACUGCUGCAUCAAUAUAUUCAUCACGCCCAGAUUUUGUUAAUGGAACGGUGUAUUUUUGUACCUUGUGCACUAGCUAGGGAAAAACAAAGUAGGGUCUAAUUUAUGGUAUUUUUCAGGUAGUACUCCAAUUUUUUCAGACAUAGCUGCGGCUUGAUCUGAUUUGUCCUUGAUUUCUAAAGACCUCGAAACUAGCUGUCGAAACACCAUUUACAAUAUUAGGCUUGUGACAUGGAUGUUUCGUGAAUAUUAGUUAUUUGGACAUUUGAAGGUGUAGUCCCAAAAAACUCGUUGACGCUGUAGUUGGAAGGUUAAUGUUCUCUGGAUAACUAACUGUACAUACAAAACACCUCAGUUUGGAGGAUGUAGUCCAGGUACAAAUGUCUUUAGCUGAACUGAAAACCAAUUUCUUGAAUUCAUGAUAUUUGUUAUCAUUACUACUUUAAAAAGACCAUUUUACUACUUUAGAGCUUAUGUUAGAUCAUUUGUCUUGGAACAACACCAAUUAGGAUGCCUCACAAUAGGCAUACAUCAAGAAAGAUCUUAAAUUAAACCAUCAAAGAAUGUUGAGAACACAAUUUGAAGUAGCCAAGAUAUGCUAUGGUAGGAAAAAUUUUACAUAAAAAUCUGUUACAUUGAACAGUCAAAUAAUUUAAACACCUUACACGCACACAUACUGGGGUCUGAAUGCCAAAGUUCAUAUUGCCAAAACUGAUGACCGGUCAAGUAGUAUUUCUGAGACCAGGUAAAAAGCACUCCAUUUAUAACCUUCAGCUAGCAAGAGGUUAUAGGAUCCGGGUGCCCAAACUUUAAUCUUGUAAAGCAUAUGUCUUGACUUAGAGAUUUAGGAGCAGUCUAUGAGGAUUCAAUAUCUGAUUCUUCCAAUCCUUCUCUGUAGAGUUCAAAUUCAUCAGGAGACCACCGGCAUAUUAAGUUGAGCCGGAAAGUAGCCAUCUUGAUACCAAGCAAACGCUGUGUGACAAGGUGAUUGUUUUCAGAAACUUGCACAGUAUGACGCAAGAAAUAUACAGAAUACUCAGAAAUAUGAUAUUUGGGAAAAUCAACAAACCAGUAUCCGAGCUGCCUCUGGUGACAAUGGCUUCCCUUCUUCACACACAACAUAGUCAGACACAAGCUCCACGACACCUGCUCACCCCGCACGAAAAAGGUCAACGAAUCAGACAGCAUAAAAGAUAAUUAUUGACAUAUCAGACACAACAAAAUCAUGCUACAAUUGUCAACCAGUAAAACGCGAAACAAAAGAGCAGUGAUUGAUAGUUUGAUACCUCUGUUCAACCGAACUGGCAUCCCUUGCUUUCGCAGGAAUGGCUCCAUCUCAUGUGUGAACUGAUCAAGAGGGCCUUCUUGUAGAUCCACCUGAUAGACGAACCAAAAACAAAAACCAUGUACGUACUUCAGGUAAAAAUUGGGGCAAGGCAGUAUGUGAAGAUGCCUUUGGCGUUCUCAGGUCAAAUUUAGCAAAAAUAUUCCCAAACAAUUUAUCUACUUGGAUCAGUGCACAAUAAUCGAUAUGGUUCAAUUAUUAUAGACCAGACAACACAUGGGAACACAAAGGCACCAAAUUUAACCAGAGAAAGCAUCUUAAGGAAGAGCUCUCGAGCAAAUAGCCCUUAUUGAUAGGUGCCAAGAUGGCAUUUAUCUUCUUUCUUUCCUUUUUUGGGGAUAAAACCAAAAUGCCAUUUAGCUUUACAGUUCAUAAAUUGGCAUAUAGCCACAAAAAUGAGUUUGCCAGCGGGAGGUUGCAGAUACCUGGCAGUUUAGUCAGAGGGUGCAGGCAAGGCGGAUGCAAUAUUCAUAAAAGAAACCAUAUUCACAGAAUAACUUUAGUACCUUUUCUGUUGCUAUAGUGCCAGUCCUUGCAAAGUCAUAUUCUUCAUACUGGUUAAACAACCUGACAAUGUUCAAAAUGAUGAGCAAAAAACUGAGAGUGGCAGGGGGAGCAGUAGGCAAACAGCAGGGAUCACAUUCCAGCAAAGAGAAACAGCUAGUACUACAGGCAACAAAGCAUUCAAAGAAUCCUGGCUUCCUUGCAAGGAACAAAAUUACAAUACAAUAUUGAAAAGAAGUGGAAGACUCAUUAAAGGAAUUGUUGGAAACUAGAUAGCGUGCAUUACUAAAUGUUAAGCUGUAACACAAUUAUAUGUAGCACAACACAAUAGACAAAGGUGACAAUAACCACCCACCCACGCACCCAGAAAAAAGAAAAAAUUAAAACUUUCCUUUGACUUAAUCAAGAAGCAGGGUUAUAGUAUGUAGAAUUUCAGUAUCUAAAAUGCAUCAUUGAAUCUGGGUCUUACCUUUGGACCUCUUCCUUUGAUAAGUUAGUAAAGCAAAGGCCCGAAUCUCCACGCACAAGCUGUAAACAAAGGAUAUUUCAAUCCAAACAUUACUUAGAGUAGAUACCACAUAUUUAACAGAUAUAUAAUGUACAUUAGCGCGUCCUACCUUAGAAAUCUUAUGGAGGCCGGAACGAAUCUCAUCGGCAACUGAACGGCCUAGUGCUACCUGCAUGACUUUGUUGGAACCAAGGAAAAAUCUGAAAUGGCAAGAAAUAAUGCUCAAAUACAGUCUCCAUUCUGAUAGUUAAUUAUGAAAGACAAACAAAGUUCCCCCUCGAGAUAUAUGCUUCCCAACUCAAUACCAAUUUAUAUUUGAUAAUACUCCAGAGAAAAAUUGCUUAGGACGAGAAAAUGCAAAGACUUAAUGAUAGCAUGAUCACUGUAUGCACAGAAAUGUACUCUUAAAACAAGCAAUACAGGCCAGACAGCCAAUUCCAGGUUCAGUAAAAUAUAUUUUCUAAAUUAUCCUUUUGUAAAGGAGAAAAGUUAAAAGUAUGGGUUUUGAAAUUUUACGCACGGAAUAGCCAUAACAUGUAGAUCUACACAUGGACACACGACGACUACAUUGAUUUUUUCCUUAACUCUCUCGGGAAAAUAAAAAGCUCAUAACAUGCUACAUUAUUAAUUGCAAAACUAACCUUGCUGUACUCCAGCAAAAGUGAUGUAUUGACUUGGACACGCGGCAAAAUACAUAGUUUUGUAUCACAAUCUUUUUAAACAACUAAGAUAAAGAUUAAUGUUCUCUCUCAACAUUACCAAAACGUCUCUUUGUAGAAAAAAGGUACUCUCUCUUUCCCAUGUUAGUUGUCCACAAUAUUAAAAUGGUUGUCCCAAGUUACUUGUUAAUAUAAAAUCAGGAGAGAAUUGAUUAAUUUUUUUUCCAUUUUACCAUUACAAUUAAUUACUUUUUAAGUGUAAACAAGUAAAGUUACAAAAAAGCUUCUUAAACGAUUAAUUGGUAUCUAAUACGGGGUGGAGGGAGUACAUAUGAAACCAUAAAUAAAUAGACAAAUUAACCAAACUUGCCUGCUAGAAGACUUAAGCUGAUCUCUGAACUCCUUAAACUUGAGAUUUCUCAUGUUCUCGAAACUAAAUACAUACACUGAACUAUACUUUUCAGCACAUUCCCUUAUUGAAUUAACAAUGUUUUCUUUGUGCUCCUUCCCCUUCUUCUUCGUCUUAGAUAAAGUAACUGCAAUCAAAUUCCACAACACGUGAGCUUAAACAGUAAUUAAUUCAACAAUCAUGAGCUUAAUACAACAAAGAAAUCACUAUAAUGGAUAUACACACAUCAACUAGAAACGCUUAAACGGUAAUUGAUUCAACAAUCAUGAGCUUAAUAACAACUUAGAAAUCACUAAAAUGGAUAUAUAUACACACAUCAACAUUAAACGCUUAAACUGUAAUUAAUUCAACAAUCAUGAAUGUAGUAACAACUUAGAAAUCACUAAAAAUGCUUAAGCAGUAAUGAAUUCAACAAUCAUGAACGUAAAAACAACUUAGAAAUCACUAAAAAUGCUUAAGCAGUAAUGAAUUCAACAAUCAUGAAUGUAAUAACAACUUAGAAAUCACUAAAAAUGCUUAAGCAGUAAUGAAUUCAACAAUCAUGAGCUUAAUAACAAGCUAGAAAUCACUAAAAAAUGCUUAAACAGUAAUGAAUUCAACAAUCAUAACAACUUGGAAAUCACUAAAAAUGCUUAAGCAGUAAUGAAUUCAACAAUCAUGCAUGCAAUAACUUAGAAAUCACUAAAAAUGCUUGAGCAGUAAUGAAUUCAACAAUCAGAUGUGGAAAAUUCUAGGGUUUUGCUGUACCGGCUCUGUUACGCUUCGACUUCGGCAUUGCUUCUUUGAUUUUUUGGUGAAAGCUAAAACCCUACAACUUGCUUUGCUUUGGAAAGAGAAGUAUUCAGUCGACCGCGCGUUUAGUUUUAUGUCUUUGUGCUGGUUUGGGCCUGUAAUGGGCCUAAGGGUUUACAGGCCCAGUUAUCUGAAGUUGGGCUAUAUUGUUGGGGGUCAAGUUCAGCAGAAAAUUGCAUGUCAUAGAUCCAAAUAUGGGUGAUUUUAGAUAUUUAACCUCAAAUAAAAACGUCUUUGAAGUAAUAUGGGUGACUCUUCCUUACUUUUUAAUAUACUAAAAGUAUCAUUUUACCCUUCCACACCUUAAAUAUAUUUUUAAAUCUUUCCAUACUCAUUUAUCUCUCAACUUUUAUUUUUUAUUAUUUUUACUUUUAAAUUUUUUUCUUUACUUUUACUAUUUUACUUUUUUCACUCUUUUUUUUUUCUUUAAAUUUAUUAUUUUAAUUUUUAUUAUUUUUAAUUUUUAAUUUUUCCUUUAAUUUUAUUUUCAUGAUUUACCCAUUGCAAUAAGCUCAGGUGACAAGAAAUUUCAUAAAGCUACCAAAAAAGUUCAUCUCAAAGCUUGAGCUUCGGAUUUCUCUCUUCCCUUUAGUGUAAUUGCAUUCUAACUUUAGGGUUUUUGAUUUUGUCAUUCAUCUCUCUGCACUUUAGGUAAUUUCUCUCAUUUUGUCUUAAUCUUAUUGCAUGCAUUUGAAGUAUUUGUUACCUAACAAUUUUUUUGAGCUAAAAACCACUUUUCUUUUCCGCGAAUCACAUUCUAUAAUGCAUAGAUUAAUUUAUAAACUCUAUUUUUUUUAUCUACAUCACCUUGAUGAAAAUGCGUUUGGGGUGGUUUCUCUACUCACUGAUCUCACUAUUUUCCAGUCAGUAGGUUGUUUAGAUUUGGAUUUUUGGUGUUUUGUGUAGCCAUUGAGUCAAUUUUUUUGUCCAAUAAAUUUUAUUUUGCAGCUUGAUUCUUGUUUUUUUGUUAAAUUUUAAUUUGAUAGUUUUUUUAAUCUUUAUAACUCUGCAGAUCUUGGUAAUCACGUCUAGCAAGACAAAUCGUGUCGAGUACUUUAUUGAUCCUAAUGAUUGAUUCAAGUCAGACCCCCGUUGGAGAGGGGAUUCAAAUUAUCAUACAACGAUAACAAGCUUUUUGGAUGACACACAGUUGUCAUUGUUAGAGAAAUAUUUUUUUGGAAAUUUGAUGAAAUUAGGUACCAUAUUUGGCAGAUUUUGAUUCGGGUGCUUCGCAAUCCAUUUUUUAUCAGAAACAUCCCUUCACUGUGACUUUGAAGCAUUUGAUAAUCUGUCGAGCUUGAACACUACUUUUUGGGUGUUCAUCGAGUGUGGAUUGAAUACGUCGAAAUGGUAGGUAAACUAUCUUUAAACUUUUUAUUUUGUCAUUUUUGUACUCAUGGUAACACAUAUAUUCUACUUGUAUUCAUUUUUCAUGUAUUGCAUUGUUAGUUCUAUGGGAAAAGCCAGUGUUCUUAUCCCCUUGCUUUAAUCAUACUGCCCUGGACCUUUGCCUCCAUGCGAUUUCUUCCCUGUUGGCUAUGUAUUCAAAUUUCAUAUUCAGAGUUAAUCUAGAGGUUAUUUUUUCUGCCUCUAAAGCUCUAUAUUCCUGUGUCUCCUCUAGUUCAAUUAGUUGUCUCAACACCUCUUGCUUUUGGGCUCUCAAGUUUUGCUCCACUCUUUCAAUUUCCCUUUCAAUGCUCUAAGUUUUGUAAUCAAGAUAUAAUCUGGUUUCUUAGUGCAAUUAAAGCAAUCCCACCACCUUUUUACUCUUUCCUUGAAACUAUCCGUCCAACCACCAAUUCUCAAACUUGAAAUGGGAUUUAGUGGUCUCCCAAUCACCACAUUGUAACAUUAUAGGCGAGUGAUCAGAGAUUACUCUAGGUAGUAGAUUCUGCCUUAUAUUUCUAAAAUUUGAUGCCCAUUCUUCAGAGAAAAGUAUUUUGUCCAAUCUGGAAGUUGUUAGGUGUCUGUUCCCUUUUUUCCAACUGUACAUCCCCUCUAAUAAUUCUACGUCCACCAGCUCCAUGUCCUCGAUGAAAUCUGAAAAAUCUAUCAUGCCUUUGUUGAUUCUGCUGCAGUUUUUCUUUUUCAAUGGAUGUCUAACAGUAUUGAAGUCGCCACAAAGGAUCCACGGUCUUGUAACUAUACCUCUGGCUGCUCCGAUUUCCCACUAAGUUUCUUCUCUUUCCUCUCUUUCACUUGGAGCUUAGACUCCUAUAAGAUGGCAACUGAGAUCUUGGCAUUUCCCUGUGAAACUACCGGUUACAAAAUACCUCCCCACACUACUAAUUUCCUCCACCCACAUUCUCUUAUCCCACAUGAUAACUAUACCACCCCUAGUUCUGCUAGCCUCCAGUUGAGCGUAGUUUACCCACAUAUUCCCUCAUACUUCUUUGACUAUGUCUCUUAGUCCCUUUUUAUCUGCUUUGGUGAUGGAUGUGUUGAUGCGGCGUAUUCAAGGAGAGGUGCCUUGGUGUAUGCUUUUUGCAGAUGAUAUAGUUUUGAUUGAUGAAAUGCAGAGGGUGUGAAUGAUAAAUGAGAGGUGUGGAGACAAACUCUUGAGUCUAAAGGGUUCAGGUUGAGUAGGAACAAGACAGAAUAUUUGGAAUGCAAGUUUAAUGAUGCGAGGUUAGAGAAUGAGGUGGUAGUGAAGUUGGAAUCACAGGUGGUAUGUAAGACGGAUAGUUUCAAGUAUAUCGGGUCCAUGAUUCAGGGUAACAGUAAGAUUGACGAGGAUGUCUCACACUGUAUUGGGGCGGGAUGGAUGAAGUGAAAACUCGCUUCGGGGGUGUUGUAUGAUAAUAAGGUAGCGCCCAAGCUUAAAGGCAAAUUCUACAGGAUGGCAGUUCGUCCGGCUAUGUUGUAUGGAACGGUGUGUUGGCCAAUUAAGAACUCCCACAUUCAAAAAAUGGAGGUGGCGGAAAUGCGGAUAUUGCGUUGGAUGUAUGGGUUGAUUAGGGGGAUAGAGUUCGAAAUGAGACUAUUAGGGAGAAGGUUGGUGUGACUCCAGUAGAGAAUACGAUGCGAAAAGUCUGAUUAAGAUUGUUCAGACACGUGAUGAGGAGAGGCAUGGAUACCCCAGUUCGUAGGUGUGAGAGGCUAGCUUUAAAUAGUUUUAGGCGGGGUAGAGGUAGGCUGAAGAAGUAUUGGGGAGAGGUGAUUAGGUGCGACAUGGAGCAGUUACAGCUCAUAGAGGACAUGACCCUAGAUAGGAAGAUCUGGAGGACGCGAAUUAGGGCAGAAGGCUAGGGUCAGUUUGGGUCGCUAGUGUAGGGCAUUACUUGGUGGGAGUAUUAUUCUUGUUAUGAUACUUUGUUUCAUGCUUUACUACGAAUCUGUUUACUUUUCUCUGUUUACUAUUACUUGUGGUUGUCGUAUUUAUGUUAUGCCAUCUUGUUCCAUGCCUUACUAUGAAUUUGUUUAUUAUUUUGUAUCUCAAGCUGGGGGUCUAUCGAAAAUUGCCUUUCUACUUCUUUAGAGGUAGAGAUAUGGACUGCGUACAUCUUACCCUCCCCAAACCUCACUAUGUGGGAAUACACUGGGUUUAUUGUUGUUGUUGUUGUUUAAGUGCCAAAAAUAUAUAUGUUAAAGGAAAACAUGUGCUGCCCGAAUGUUUAGUGUUUGGCUCUUGUGUUGUGGAUUCGAAGAAGUGAUUUUAUUCACUUGCAACUUGUGGUCGACCUUUGAAUAACACAGUAUUAUCACUUGUUAUCCUAAUCUAUAUUCAGAUUGGCUAAUAUAUACCUGCUGUCUUUGUAACUUUGGUGUAAAGUUGUAACUUUUCUAUUCACUAGUAGAGCCAGGUAUAUAGUUAGAGGGGCGAAGGGGGGUCAUUCAAUUUUUAGUUUAAUCUUGAUUUGUCUACCUGUUUUAACUUUAUUUUCAUUUCAUUGUAGAAACAAAGCCAAUAUUGUUAACAAGAUCCCUCUUGUUUCAAUUCAUCGUGCGAUCACAAGGUUUAGCUCAUUUCUUGGUUGUAUGAUACUAAGAAGGCGCUUGGCCGUAGAAUUUAUAAAGCUGGAGUUGAAGAUAGAGUAAUGUUUAAUUUGUAUGUGGGGUUACUGAUAUUUCAGGAAGUUAGCUGAACAAAUCGCGAACAAAUAAUAGAAACCAGCAAUUGAGGUACAAUGUCUAUCCCCUCCUGGCUUAUUUUAUAACUGAGCUACUGUUAACAUUGUAUAUCCACAGGUAACAAAACCACCAAUCCCAGUGGCACCAAUUAUAAAUGAAACAGAAGACUGCAUUAUUAUCGAUGUUGAAAAUUACAAGGCCACUGGUUAUUCUGACGUGCCAAUGUUUGUGCAGCAUACUGAAGCAAUGAUGGAGGAAAUUGAUAUGAUGGUAAGCUUUUAUGAUUUAUAUAUCUUGUUUAUGAAUAUAAUUUUUGUGGAUUGCCAUUGAUGUGUUAAAUCUUUGAUUCAGGAUGAGGAAAUUGAGAUGGAAGAUGCAGAAGAUUGGUCAGUUGUGGACAUAGACAGCUCUGAUAAAAAGAACGAACUCACUGUAGUAGAAUACAUUGAUGAUAUCUAUGCUUACUACAAGAAGGCUGAGGUGGAGAUGUUAUCUCCACUCUCUCUAUUUGUUUGUUAGAAGUUUUUUUUUGUUUACAACUUGUACAUGCUCAUUACCCCACUGUGUGAAAAUAUACUGGAUUUGUUGUUGUUAUUGCACAUGCUCAUUAGGAUUAUGGUGUGUAGAGUUAGCAGAAGUCCCAUAUUUUUUAACUGACAAUCUAAUUCUUUUGGAUGAGAUCUCAUUAAGCUUAAUAGAUUGUCAAAUUACUCACAAAAGCUAGUCUAAUUUCAAUAUGGACUGCAAUUUUUAGUUAGUAAAAUAAUAGGUGCAGAACAUAGGAUAUAUAGACACAUGGAGGGUAUACUUGGGUUGUUUCUGUUGUGAUGUUAUUCUAUCAAAGAUGAUUACUGUUUUAAUUUUAAUUGGAAAUCUAGAAAGAAAUGGAGGUGUAUUUUUUACUCUUUUCUUUCAAUGUUAUUUUCAAUUGCAGGUCGCUGGCUGCAUCCCUCUAAACUAUAUAGAACAACAAUUUGGUAUCAAUGAGAGGAUGAAAGGCAUCUUCAUUGACCGACUGAUUGAGGUAUACAGUGUUUGUUAUUGCAUGUCAUUUCUAGGUUUUAUGAAGAAGAAUGUGAUAAUUCUAGGUGUCAUUUAACGUCUAAUCCAAUUUAUAGGUUCACUACAAGUUUGAACUGAUGGAGGAGACCUUGUAUUUGACUAUGAAUCUCAUCGAUAGAUUCCUGACAGUUCAGUCAGUGAUUACGAAAAAACUACAGCUUGUUGGAAUAACAACUUUGCUUCUUGCCUGCAAGUAUGAAGAGGUUUAUGUACCUGUAGUGGAGGAUCUAAUUUUGAUCUCUGACAAGGCUUAUGCCAGAAAAGAAGUGCUUGAAAUAGUUAGUUUAAAGACCCAAAUCUUACAUUAUCAGGACUUGUAUCGCCAUUUUGUUUUUCCUCGCUAAAUGAUUUCAAUCGUUUUCUUAUCUACAGGAGAAAUUGAUGGUUAAUGCCUUACAGUUCAACAUGAAAGUACCUACAAAUUAUGUGUUUAUGCGGAGGUUCCUUAAAGCCUCCCAGUCUGAUAUAAAGGUCGGUUAAACGUCUUUGUCACAUGAAGAAGUCACGCAACAAUCUGAAUCACUACUCAUACAACUUUUUGUCAUUGUUUAAAUCAGGUGGAGCUCGUGUCUUUCUUCUUGAUCGAGUUAUGUCUGGUUGAAUACGAAAUGCUUAGAUUCCUAUCAUCAAUGCUUAUUGUUGCAGCUAUCUUUACUGCUCAGUGCACUCUCAGUGUGUCCAGGGAGUGGAACGCAACCUGCGAGAAGCAUAGCAGCUACGACAAGAAUUAAAUUUUGUAAGUAUAUAUUUUUUUAAAGAUACUUGUAAAUGUACAUUUCUUUAUCGAAUAGACAAAGAUGUGUAAUUGUGUGCCUUAUUUUCUACUACAGGGAAUGCUCGAAAUUGAUGGUUUAUUUCCAUCAGAAGGCAGCAGUUGGGAAGCUUAUUAGCGUGCACCGAAAGUACAAUACUGUAAAUAUGGCAAUGUUACAAGAUGUGAACUAACUUUUUUUUUGUUAGAAGCCUGGUUCUAGGAUAAGAAGAACACAUAAGGGGGAACGUCAUGCUUUGCAAGUAGUUGUGUUGAAUGAAAUUGUUGAUGUGUGCGCAACAUAUAUUGCCCCAGACUCUGGGAAGGGGGAAGGGUGUCUUUAAGUUCUUUUGCUACUGAGAGAACCAUGUGUUUAUUUAUUUUUUUCUUGUACAUUGUUUGACACUGCUGGUGUUUUGUGAAAUAUCUUGCUUUUCAUACUUUUUCUUGAAAACAAAUAUUAGAAAGUUAAAAUUUCUUCUUAACAGUAUUGGACCAACGUAUUUAUUAACUAGGUCCCUAUUUUAACUCGUCCAAUAUUAUUUGGGCUAAACAUGUAACAUAAUGAUUGAUACAAUGCUAAGUGUGUAUCAAGAGAUUCCAACCAACACAAGAACAACAAGAUGAACAACAAAGUGCUAGUGAAUCGAAAAUGGCCACACACAGCUUCACUAGGCUUGCAACACUUGUUUGAACUAGAAAAGUGAGUUUAACAAAAAGAACAACAAAGACAAUAUUGCUAGUGAAUCGAAAGAGCCCCACACGGCUUCACUAGACUUUUAUAUUCAACAACACAAUGUUAACAAGAUUUAAAAAGAAAGAGAUAGAAAUUUGACACACAAUAUUCAUUAAUCUAAGAACCCUAACAAGAGAAAGGACCCUAAGACUAAUAAAUAUCAAUACCAAGUUCUUACUUGGACCAAGAGGAACUCAAAGAACAUCAAGAACCUAGUUCUAGCCAAGAUACAACACUAGUAUCACUCUACUAGUGAGAAUUUGGUUUUGGCCUCUCCAAAUGAUGAGAAAGAGAAGUAAAAAAUGUACAAGUCUUUGUUUCUUGAAUAAUAGGAAUGAACUAAAGCAAGACUAGCCCUAUUACAUGGCUUAUAUAGUCACUUAGAAAGGAGGGACAAAGACCAAAUUACCCUUGGCAUUUAAGUGGGUGGGUUUGGGGUGUCUUGGUGGGCCUCUUUACAUUUUAUUAAAUAUAGGCCCUUAGAUGGGCUCACAAGGGCCUCACACGUGGCCAAGAAUGUGAACAAGGCUUGGAGUCGUUGCAACUCACGUGCUUGGCUUCGUGUAAAAGGUCUCGAGCUAGGAAUUCCCGUAUCAAUGAUUGAAGCGUCAUAAGCAAAAAAUGCAUAUUGAAACUUGCGUUGAGCAAAAGAAUAUUAGUAACAAUUUGUAUUUGAUGUUUAUAAUCACAGUACCACAAUUUUCUAAACUAAGUCUUGCCCAUGACACAAGAGUUGCAUAUAUGUUAAUAAUCUAAUCACUGCAAUUAAAGAAUAAACUUUUGUCUCUUGGACAAAAUAUUCAAGUUAAACAAUAUAGCAUUUGUACAAUAAUUUUCUAAACUAAGUCUUGCCCGUGAGGCAAAAGUUGCAUAUAUGUUAAUAAUCUAAUCAAUGCAAUUAAAGAAUAAACUUUUGCUUCUUGGGCAAAGGUUUUCAAUUUCAACAAUUUUCUAAACUAAGUCUUGCCCAUGAGGCAAGAGUUGCAUAUAUAUUAAUAAUCUAAUAAAUGAAAUUAAAGAAUAAAUUGUUGUCUCUUGGGCAAAAGUUUUUAAUUUCAACAAUUUUCUAAAGUCUUGCCCAUGAGGCAAGAGUUACAUAUAUGUUAAUAAUCUAAUCAGUGCAAUUAAAGAAUAAACUUUUGCUUCUUGGGCAAAAGUUUUUAAUUUCAGCAAUUUUCUAAAUUAAGUCUUGCCCAUGAGGCAAUAGUUGCAUGCAUAUAUAUUAAUAAUCUAAUCAAUGCAAUUAAAGAAUAAAAUGUUGUCACUUGGGCAAAAGUUUUCAAUUUCAAUAAUUUUCUAAACUAAGUUUUGUCCAUGAGGCUAGAGUUGCAUAUAUGUUAAUAAUCUGAUCAGUGCAAUUAAUGAAUAAAUUAUUGCCUCUUGGGCAAAAGUUUCAAUUUCAACAAUUUUCUAAACUAACUCUUGCUCAUGAGACAAGAGUUGCAUAUAUGUUAAUAAUCUGAUCAGUGCAAUUAAUGAAUAAAAGGUUGCCUCUUGAGCAAAAGUUUUCAAUUUCAACAAUUUUCUAAAUUAAGUCUUGCCCAUGAGGCAAGAGUUGCAUAUAUGUUAAUAAUCUAAUCAGUGCAAUUAAAGAAUAAACUUUUGCCUCGGGGGCAAAAGUUUUCAAUUUUAAUAAUUUUCUUAACUACGUCCUGCCCAUGAGGCAAGAGUUGCAUAUAUGUUAAUAAUCUAAUCAGUGCAAUUAAAGAAUAAAUUUCUGCCUCUUGGGCAAAAGUUUUCAAUUUCAAGAAAAAGGAAAAGAUCCUCAAGAUAGAAUCUAUGUCAUAGAGAGGGUUGUGAUUGUUUCCAUGUGGAUUUGUAGGUAUGAGAAUAUCUUUAAGAAUUGCCUGAUCUAGCUGCAGACCAAUGCGUCUCUCUAGAUCAGACCUGCAGGAAGUCGAUGUUGAUGCUGCUAUUGCAGAUUUUAACAAACUUGAAAAAAAGCCAUUAGCACUGUGCUUUUCCUGGAUUGUGUUGGUAGUAAGCCAGAUAUUAUUUCAACGAUGAUCCUUUGUCUUUUCUACAAUUCCAAAUCCAAGAAGUUUUCUUUAACCAACUGAGGGUCCUUGAUAAACAAGCCCUGAAGAGAAUUUUGGGCAUAAUUUAUCAAAAUUCUGCUGAUAAUGUCUUGUUUAAGACCUUUUAUUUUUACUGCUGACAGAACUCUCUGAAAGAAAUCCAGAUUUAGCAUCGCGAGUGAUUUUCCCCACCAGUCUGAUGGUGUCUCAGAAUCAACGCAUUAAACAGGUUUGGGUGGAAAAUUAUACUCUAACUUUGACAAGUCAGAUGUUAGCUGCUCUUUACAGGCAUUGUUUGCAAUUGCAUUUAUUGGCUGCCUGACAAGAUUGACUUUUUCAGAUACCGGUAGUAAUGUUUCACAGCGAUGAAGAACAGAUAUCGAGUUGGAUAUGUUUGGAAAUACCGCAUCCUUAAGGAAUACCUUAGUAUGAAUUUCCAGGUUUUUCUCGGAGAUAUCUUCUGUCAUUUUCAUGAAACUGGCUGCACAUCUGAGUAACGCCAUGUUUGAUAUGGUAAUCUCAACGUUCACUUCAUAGCAGAACUUUGCAGCAAGUUCAAAUGCAUCAGAUCCGCCAGGAAGACCAGUAAGAUUGAUUCUUGAAACCUUUGUAUCCCUCGACUCUAGCAACAACUUUCUAAUUCUUCCACUUCACGAAACCAGAGGGAACUGCAAAUAAUGACAAAUUAGCAAUCACAUUAGAAAUGUAUCCAAGAUAUUCUUCUUUCAUUUUUCUUAAUUUUAACACGAAGCACAUAACUUAAGUUCUGUAGUUUUGUUUUUGCAUUUGGCUAUUGAAUUUUCUUUUCUCCUCAACACAACUGUAUUGAUAUCGGUAGCCUACUUAUAAUGGUUAAAACAUUAAUCUUUUUCAAGGUACUUUAGACUAGCCAUUUCUUUGCACAACUUCUGUUUUUCCAUAGACUUAAGUAUUGCAAUGAUGAUGAAAAGCGGUAGAUUAAAUUACACGAGAGGAAGAAGAUUGCACACUUUAUUUUUGUACCUUAUGAAGAGCAAAACUGGCUGAUCUGACUUCUAUAGUAAGAUCACUCGAAACAUCAGAUAUUGGCCUGCAAUAGAAGAUAUAGUCAAUGAUCAAAAGUUGGAAACUUACAUUUUAAAAAAAAUAAUUGCCUAAGGUUUCAUGCAUGCGCAACUUACAUCUCAAGAAUACAAUGCUGGAUGUAUGGAGUCUUAAAGCUAUCUAAAUUCAAACGAUGAAACCUUAACUCUUCGGAGAGCAUAAGUUAGCCUAAUUUUUCGCUUGUACAUAUGACCAUAAAUUAGGACCAAAAAUAGCAUAAAAACACAAUCUUGAAUGAAUAAAAAUGUUGAAACAAAGUUAACAAUACCCUCUGUGUGUGCUGUUUUUGGAUUCAAUCUAGCAAAGUGCCAGACAUUUUCUAGUGUCUUUAAAAUGUGGGGUGGAGUAAUCUAGCAGCUAGUUGCAAAACUCAUCUGUACUAACUAGAGGGCCUUCACAAGAUACACAUAUUGGAAACUAGGAAAAUAAUUAUUGAUGUCUACACCAUUCACACCACAUCUUGAACUGGAGAAUUGAACACAUUGGACUUUAGAGGUUUAAAAGGUCAGCUAUUUGGUUUGUCAUUUUCAAUGAUUGCAGCCUUAGAAACUACUCAUCUAUAGUCAUUAUCUAGAGUAUAUGAUAUUAACUUUAUGAACUGAUAGAAACUCUACAAUCUUAGAUUUUAAGGUAAGUUCCAUCACAAUCAGUUUCCAAAGCUAAAAGUAUUGCCAUUUUCACUUACCCAGCACUUGAAUGUGGUCUGUCAUUAGUGGAGAAGUCUGGACUUUCACUAAGGGAGUUCCGAAUAUAAAUAGGUGAACACACGAAAGAAAUCAAGGGAUUCAGUAUCUACUAUAUAUACAUAAAAAUAUACUUUUCCCCUUAUAUAUAUAUAUAGCGUAAUUCUUUCACGAAGGCCCUUGUGAUAACGACCCUGGCUUCCCCCGUCUUUCAUAAAUACAUUUAUUAUUCAGAUAUUUUGGUGGUUGUAGUUCUCUUCUAGUGCCAAAUCCUACUACCAUUAGAGAUUUUAAACACAUUACCUGUUGCUUUAUGUUAUACAAGCUAAUAGCUAAGGUGCUCUUUCUUAGAAUCAACAAGUUAGUGCUUCUUUAAUCUCUAAAACAUAGGCUGGAUUCAUCCGAGAUGGAAAACACAGCCUUUCCCUCCAAUAUCAAACCCUCGUAACUACUCAAACACAAUUAUAAUCACAAUGACAAAGUCCCCACAAUCUGUUCGACACAAUUCCUCAUCGUCUUCUAAUGCUAAUUAUACCACUAGUUUGAAAUACUUGAACUAAUUUCUUGUACCACCUUGACCUUAUACGUUUGACCUUCCCAAAAUAUGUUACGAUCAACAUCAACUCCCAUGUUAACAGCCUUUCCCUCCAAGACCAACCCUCACAACUACUCAAACACAAUUAUAAUCGCAAUAACAAACUCCCCACAACCUGUUCGACGAAAUUCCUCAAUGAUAAAUAUGUUACUACAACAAUAGCAUAUCCCAAGUUCAACUUACGUUCACCUCCCCCAAAGUCAAAUCAAUAUGCUAAUUGUAUAACGAGCUAAAAUUACCACAAUGCAUCAAUAAGCUAAAAUUACCACAAUGACUUUUGAUGAUGAAUUUCAUACCUGAAGAACCCUUACGACAAAAGUCGAUUCUGCGAAUGUUUGAAAGUCGAUUCUGGAAUUUGGAAGAAAGAGAGGAAGAAAGAGAUUUAAUGAUUUGGGCAACUUAGCCUCGGGCUUUAGAGAGUCAUCGUAUGGGUUGAUUCUGGAAUUUGGAAUAAAAAGACGAAGAAAGAGAUUGAACAACGAAUAUUUUGGAGGAGGGUAUUUUCGUUCAAAAAAUAUGACUUAACAAGUAAAGGCUAUUUUAACAAAGCUAUUUUAUUUUGGGCUAAAAUCUGAAAGUCACUCUAAUUUGGGUCUAUUUUUUAGAAUAACCCCAAGUUCAGAUAUGACCCUGAAAUGAGAUAUUCUUGAUAUUUUGUACCCGGUAAGAAAAAAGUCUUACAAAACUAACCUAUUAGGUGUGCUUUUGAUUUUUUAUCCUGUUUAACAAUUUUUUACCAUGACGCAGAUAUUUAAAUUUUAUUCAUAAGACAGAUGUUCAUAACAUUUAACAAUAGUGAACCUGCACAAUUAACAAGAAAUUUUGCCUUGUAUGCAAAUUUUAUAACUUACUUAUAAGUUCUAUUUUUUGCGUAUAUGACGGAUAUUCGAGAAAAUUUUAGAUAGUAACUCUCUUCAGUUGAGCAGAAGUCAUGCAACAAACAAAAGUUAGAGUUAAGGUCCCAUCAUACAUAAAGUUCUAAUUUUUAUCAAUUAGACAGACGUUCAUGACAUUUUAAGACAAUGCAGGUGUUCGAUUGCCCAUAGACCUUGUUGUAUAAGCAAAAUGUAAGAAUUUAUUAAGUGAAGAUAGAUCGAAUACUUUGAGAAAUACUGGCGUAAUUUUCUCUUUUACUAGAUUCCAGAAUAAAAGGUUCGGGUUGAAUAGUAAAAAAAUCAUUUAUUAGACCACAAUAUAGUUAAAUGUGAACAAACUCACAAUUGUCAUAAGUAAUGUAACUAUUGAGCUUAUGGACAAGUAGUCACUUGGGUGAAAUGUUGACAAUGUAUGGUCAAUAAAAUCAAAAGAUAUACUGGAGGCAAAGUAUUAUAUGUAUAUAUUAUUAUACACUUUUCAUAUAAUGUAUGUGUAUACUGUAUACAUUUUUAUGCAUGUAUUUUUGUACAAUAAAUUUAUAAUUAACACAUAAUCAGUGUAUAAAUAAAUACACACUAAUUAUAUACAUAUUAUAUAUGUCUCAGAGAUAUUUCGCGAAGGCAGUGAUUAGAGACUGAAAUCUUCACGGUAUCAUAGCAAAGCUUAUAAUUGUGCUUUUCAUAGCAACUUCACAAUCUUUAAGAACUUUCAAUGGACUGUCAAAGACCUAAUAGGGUUGAACGAAACUGAGAUUACAUCGAUUCCUGCAAGAACUCAUGUUCACACUGCAAUAUAUCAAGCUAGUACAUUAACUAAAUAAAUCCUAAAAUCAUAAACAUCUCUUCAACAAAUUCUAAGACAACAACAAUGCAGGGAAGAUUGCUACAACAACAAAUUCAACGACAUUAACUUUGUUAAGACAGUAACUUUAGGAGAUUCAGUUGGACAUUGAAAAAUAGGACAUUUUGUUCUAAUCUGAAUCGAGUGAGUUACGAUUUGAAAAAAAGGCCUAAAUUAUAUUUUGGAUUCAAUAGUUCAAAGUUGGGUCACUUUUGCCGAUCGACGGAUCACGUUUCUAUUGAGAAUUGACCCUAAUUCACUUAUAACUUGUUUGGACAAAUACACACUCCUGCUUUCUAUAUUUACAAUCUCAAAAAACUGGGUAAAAUGGUUUGAUGUCCUCUUUACUAUGUUGGUUGUGUAAGUUGGACACUUCUACUUACAUGUUGGUCAUCUGGACCCCUGAACCCACUAAAAAUAACAUUUUAAACACUUUUUGGCGAGUGUAACACACUCUCGUCGCAUCAGCUGCCAUGUCAGCUUUCACGUCUACCACAUCAGCUUCCACAUCAUUUUCAGGUAUUAUAUUAAAUUCCAUGUCAUUUUUAAAAUGAUACAUAAGAAAUUAAAUAUUAAAAUAAAUUUAAUUAAAUAAAAAAAUAUAAAUUGUAGAAAAUUUUAAAUAAUCAUGUUUUUACUUUUGCUCACAAAUUAAAUAUCAAAUUCAUUCCAAAUAAUUAAUAUACUUCUCCAACUAAUUUAAACUUUUAACGAUAAAUUUAUAUAUACAUUAAAAAUUAUUUCAUUAAUAAUAUAUUUAAUCAUAACAAUUUUUUAAUUAAAAAAGAAAGAAACUGUAAUUUGCGGUCUUCUUUUUCGUCCCCUCCACCCCCACCCUCACCCCCCACCAACAGUCUUCUUCUUCGUCCAAAAUUCUAUAUUUUUUAUCUUUUUUUUUAAUUCUUAGUAAUUUCAUUGCUCUUCGGAAAACAAGAUUUGAGGGAGUAUAUUAUUGAUUGCCGAAAAACAAGAACUCCCUCAGUUUUCAAGAAAAAUUGCUGCUAAAUUUUCAGGAAAAAAAACUCAACUUCACCAAGAACCAAAUUUUCAAAAACCCUAAGUGAAAUAAUCAAAAAAUAUUUCAAUUGAAUUGUUCAAAAGGAGCUAAACUUUGAUUUUCAGAUCAAUAAACACAAAAACUUGCACCAAAACACUGUCAAAAGCAAAGUUUUUUUUUUCCAGAAUUUGUUUCCUACAUCGAUGACCAAUAGUAUCAUCGUCAAAUUUGUGAAAGAUGAUUCUAUUUCUACAGUUAAAAACACAAGUCAAGUGGGGAAGAGCUGGACUGGAGCUGGGGGGGGGAGGGGCUGAACGGGGGAGGGGGUUGGGAAAGUUUUUUUUUUGUAUAAAUUUAUUAUUUUUAAAAGUAUUUUUAAAUUUAAAAAGAUGGAGGAAAAAAAGGAUCUUUUAAAAUUUUUUUAAUAGUAUUUUUUUUUCAAACAAAAAUAUUUUAAUAUAAAAUUGAUCAAAAAUUGAUCCCCACUCGCACUCUAGAUGCGUGCUUGCACGCGCCUCGUCCUAGUCAGUCCUUUUAAUGCCACAUAGGCCUGAUCAAAGGUUAAAGGGUUUGAAAUAUUACUUUUUAGUGGGUACAGGGUCCAGAUGACAAACAUGUAAGUAGAAGUGUCCAACUUACAAAACCGACAUAGUACAAGAAUUCAUCGAACCAUUUUGCCAAAAAAUUAUAAUAAAAACUACUUCUUUUUUUAGUUGUCUAUUCUAAUAAUCGAAUUUUGAAAGCCUGCCAAACAAAUGUAUUAUCUAAUUUCGUUGGGUGACAAGUAACUCAUGAAAUCAAUCGAGAUGCAUAUAAACUGAUCCAAACACCACAAUUAUCAAUCCUCCAACCAAAAUUCACUACUAAUAGGACAAUACAUCAAUAAUAAACAGAAGGUAAGGGUCAAAAAGAAGGUUAUAUUGGAAAGUAAGGGUAAAAAAGAAGGUUAAUUUUUCAAUGCAUCUGUCCAUCUUUAUUCGUCUAGUAUAAUAAAAUAGGUGCUGAAUAAUAUUUAAUUACUUUUAAAAAAUUAUUACAUAAUUUAUUAUUUUAUACUCCCUCCAUUUCGAAUUAGUUGUCCCUCUUUCUAAAAAUUUUUGUUUCAAUUUACUUGUCCAACUUAUCAAAUUAAGACCAUUUUACACUAAUUCUUUCCAUUUUAUCUUUAAUGAGUAUUAAAUAAUCAACACUUUUCAAAUUUUUUGAAAAUAACAUUUUUAUAUUAUCAGUACAAACUGUAUGACUUGACUUUUUUUCCUUCAAGGUAUACUACUAAUAUUAUUCCUAUAAGAUGACACAACACACUUUUCAAUAGUCAUCCAUUACUAUUCCUAUAAGAUACUACUCCAUAUAAUAUUUAUACAAAUACUAUUUCUUUGAGUUUUUAGGUGAUUUACUGCUUUUGACAUGCCUGAUUAACUUUAAAUUUCAUUGGACAAUUAAUUAGAGAAAAAUAAACGUAUUUUGUUAUAAUCUCCUCUGAAGGAGAAUAUAUUCAAUGACUUAUCAAUGAUAGAUCCUGAUAAUUUGACUAAUCAUAUUCAAAUGGUAAUGAGUUAAUAGUUGCCUAUAUAAGGAAGUUGUCAUUCACUUUCAUUCUCAGAGUCUUAAGUUUGAUUUUAUAUUCAUCGUUUUAACUGCAUGUUCGUGUAUGGUACAUGAAUCAUUAAACUUCACGGUGAUUACGAUAUCAAUGAAGAUCCCAACUUGGAAGAAUUCUUUGAAAAGAAGUUCUUUUAGACCUUUAGGUAUUGGAAAGAGUAAACUUGCAAUAUUCAUUUUUUUCAACUUUGUUCUGUAAACCUUUCAAGAAGAGAGUUACAAUUAGCCAAUUAUUUAUCGUUGGGCACCAAAAUAAGUUGCUGAACAUUUGUUCUAUAGUCAAUGAUGCAUUUUUUUUUACAUAGAAUAAAUAUGGAAGAGAGUGUAUAAGUUUUCACUUCUCCAAAAAAAUUUAGUGAUUUAUUGAUUUUCAAUCCAUGCAUGCACAUGCUACAAUUUUCUAUGCUUCAUUAAUUAUUGAGUCUUACAAUGUUACGAAGGGCAGAAAGGUAAAAUGUACUCUUAAUCAUUGGAUUUCUUAAUAGGUGUGCUAUGGUUGAAAGGACCUACUAAUUCAAAACGGGGGAUAGUAUUAAUUUUAUCAUUAUUAUUCCCUAUCUAACAUAAUUUCUAAAUUAUUAAAUUUAUUAUAUUUCAAAAGCUGAUAUGACCUGUAUUAUUUAUUUCUUCCAAUAAAUAGGUAUAAGCUAAAAGUUGAACAGGAGGUAGUAUAUGCCUAUACAUAUUACUACAUUAUUUUUAAGAAACUUCUAUAUUUUCCCGUUUUACGAUUCAAUGUUUUGAAGAACCAAGAGCGGUACACUUUCCCGCUCUUUGAAAUUACAAUUCCACUGGACCACCACCGCCCACGGCGUCUUCUCCGGCGUAACCCCGCGGCAGCUCUGCCCUAAUGGGUUCCUCCACCGCCACUGCCACCGUUCUCCUCACAGAACUUCAAUCUUCCACCAAAUUCACCACCAAUACCUACAAAAACUUCUCCAAUUACCUCCACGAAUUUACCACUUUCACCAAAUCGACCGACGUUACUACUAUCCGUUCACUUGCCAAGCAAUUUCUUUCGUUCCUCAAUACAUCCUUAUCACUUUUACCCAAACGCCUAUCGGAAACCCCGAAACUUCCUCCCGAAUCUGCUCCUCAUUUGUUUGAUAUUUACAGGUUAUGCCUUAAUUGCCUUGAGAGUAUCUCUUCGCAGCUGUCCUGUAAACCCUACACCGUUCAAGCACAAAGAGUUCGGUACAUCCAUUGUUUGGAAUCAUGGGAGAAAUACGAGGAAGUGGAAUGUGAAGGAUUCUCUGUACUUAAAGUUCUUCGGGAGAAUGCGGUUGGUAAGGGCAAGAAAGAAGUGAAGAAGUCAACACAGCAGUUUUUGCCGCGAUUGGAUUCAGGGAAUGUGGAUCAAGAGUUUGCUCUUUUGGUCGUGGAGAUUGUUGUUACGCUUGUUAAGUGUGCUUCUUUAAUUCAGAAUAAGGCUGUCCACGAAUACGAUGGACUUCUUGAUUUGGUCAAAGAAGUUGCGCCAUGGUUCAAGUGAGUUAUAAUUUCAUAAUGUUGAUUACUCCAUGCUGUAGUUUUUGCAAUUCUAGAAAAGGAGUAUAACUGAUUGAAUGUAACUAACGUUGGAUAACUCAGGGUUUUGGAUGCGAAUGCUCAUGGGAAACUGCAUAGGGUACUUGUGACUUAUCUGAACAGAGUAACACUAAUCAUGGUUGGCGACCUGACAAAAUUCAAUGGGGACUUGGUGCGCAAAUUUUGUGUAGAAGCCUUGUGUCAAAUCAAACAAUCAUCCCUAAAGGAUCAACUGUUCAAGGUGCAUUUUUUAUGUUUAGCAUUUGCCCAUUCUAUAUAUGUUUUCUUUGUCUAUGCUAACUUGUAUAUGUGCCACAGUUCGCAAGGAAGAUAUGCUCCUCUCUGUUCUCACAAGAACUUGGUGAAUUCUCUGGGAUUGCUGACACCUUAAAACAUGUGCUGAACACCAUGGCUGCAGAAAUAAAGGUAUUAUAUUGAUCUUUCUUAGGUUAUUGAUCACGAACAAAGGAUAUUCUGCUGUUUACUGGAUCCAGUAUUUAUUCUUUACAUUUACUUGAUCUUUGCUUCCAAAUGCCUGUGAGACGGCAUAAUGACAUGAAUAUUUUAUUGAAGAUGAGUAAGUAAGCAAUUUCACAGUUUUCUGCAGUACAAAAUAGAGGGACCUGAAGUAUACAAUUGGCUAGUUUAAGUACAUAAAAUCCAUUGCUUGUUCUGGUUACAUGGUUGCUGAAUCAAGGUAGGAUCAGCAAUAAAAUUAUGAGGCUUCAAGUGUUAUAUGACCUGGUAAAGCAACAGAUGUUUGAGGUCGUAGAAUUACAACUUAGUACUGUUUUUGGAGUAGAUCUGGGAAGUUCAAUGUAGUAUGUGAUCAGUAAAGGAUAGGGAACCUUAAAAGGAACAAGAAGGAAAGAAAAAUAUCUUGAAUUCCACCUAGAAUCCUAGUGGAAUCCCUGCAAGUCCCAAAGUAAGUUUGCAUAUAGCGCCAUUUGCGAAACCAGUAAAACUUCAACAGGAAAAAUAAAAAUUAACUUUAAAAAGACAAAAAAAAGGGCAGCCCGGUGCACUACAGCUCCCACUAUGCAUGGGGUCUUGGGAAAGGCCGGACCACAAGGGUUUAUUGUACACAACCUUACUUUGCGUUUUUGCAAGAGGUUGUUUCCACGGCUUGCACUCGUGCCUAUUAAAUAUUACUCGCUCCAUUUUGAAUUGAAUUUAUUCUUUACUUUUAGGAGUUUGAUCAUCAUCUUUGCCUCAAUGUUUUGUACAUUAUCAUAUUUUGGAAUUGCAUUUAAUUAUCUUUUGAGUUACUCUGAUAGUUGGUCAAAUUGAUAAAUGAAACUAGAUUCCAGUGGACUCAGGUAUAGAGAGUUAGCAUAAAUACAGCUCCUAGUGUCAGAACUGCAUGUAUUUUAUGUUGUUCUGCCGGUGCAUUGCCAUUUACAUCACACAGGUAAUACUUUUUUCUCGACUAUAGCCUUCAAGAGAUCACUUGUUGCCUUGAUGUCACCUCAAGUAGUUUCUGCACAUCAUACAAGAUUUUUGCUUCUUUUUUAAUAGCUUUCACAAAGUGUUUAUUUUCUUAUUUCAUUGCCUUUUCUUUUCAGGACUUGUGUUUUUCUGUUGAAUCUCUUUCUUAUUUUCAUUUCCUUGUUUUCAAUAAUGAUCCUAAAUCUUACAUUCUUUUCUAUCCUUGCUAUUUAGAAGCGUAAUAUAUGCAAUUUCAUGAUUUCAUUUAAGCUUUGUGAUUCUUUCUUGACAACUUCAAUAAAAAAUCGCUUUUCUGUUUCACUGCUUCUCUUUCUCUUAGAAGUUGUACUUUUGUACUGAGAUAUCUUUUUCGUUUCUUUUAUUUUUUUGGUUUAAUGAUGAUUCUUGAUCUCGUCUUUCUUUUCGCCGAUCAAAAAAUCUUAUCUUUCUGUUCUAUUCUUGCCGAAUAUGCUAUUUCAUAAUUUUAUUAAAGACAUUGCCCUUACUGUUGCUUUAUGAGGAUUGAGAUAAUCAUUUUAUUUAUAUGUUUUCUUUAAUUAAAAAUAUUGGCGUCUAAGCAUUCAAAAGAUCUGUUUUCAUUGUCAAGGGUAAGUUGAUUUGAGUAUAAAAAUUUUAGCAACUUCACCUGCUUGGUUUGGUGGAAGUAGGGAUUAAUAAAUCAUUUUAUCUUGUGGGAUUUUACUGGGUAUGUUGUUGUUGUUGUAAGAGAGAGGUUUCACUUUACAUUUUUUAAGUUCUGGGCAAGACAAGAAUCAGGUUUAUCUUUAUCUGAUCUAGGAUUUUUGCACAACGGUCCUGUAUCUACCCACAAAGAUGCAUAAAUGAAAAGGGAAGACAAUAUGCUGAAAUUAUAAAUAAGGUUUCUUGGGAUGGAAGAGGGCUACUGUUAAAAGUGCUCUUCAUCAGAAAACAAGCAGUGUUGAUAUUCAAUAGUUUCCUAUGAUGUUAUAGUUAACUCUCCCUUGUCCUGAUCUUGAAUAUGAUUUAAUUUGUAGGAAAAAGCAUAACCAAGGUGCGAGUUGCAAUUUUAUUGUAUUUAAAUGGGAGGAGAUCUAUCAGUAGAGAAAAAGUAAACUUUUUGAUAAAUUUGAACAUUAACUUGUAAGGAUGACCGUUUACUAGUAUAAAUUGGCUACGGGUUCCCAUUUAUUUGAUGUGUCGGUUAUGAAUAAGAAGGUAUAGAAGACUAGGAGAGGACUUUCUAGUUAAUAAACUAUAGUUGUUAACAAGCUGGAAUGAACCACGGGAGACCAGGGUUCAAAUCAUAGCAGAGUUAGAAAAGCGUUUGGUGAUUUCUCUCCAUUUGUCUAAGCUUUGGUGGAUGUUGGAUAGAGCUACAUGAUACUUGUCUUGGUGGUAGAUAGUAGGUACCCGGUUGAUUGGUCGUGGUGUGCACAAAUUGAUGUGCAUCACUAUUUAAAAAAAACAAUUCUGAACAUCCUUGAUAGUUGAGACAACCUAAAUAUGAAAAAUAUAAUAAUGUGGGAUUGAUGAUGCUGUUCAUUGACCUGAAAUGCUUUUUUCUUCUUCCUGGGUUAAUGGCUAGACCCAUAUCACAAUCCUUAUGGUUUAUUUUUAAACUCAUUUUCUGCUAAAGUUAAUCUCAAGAAUGUUUCUUUGCAAUGCACUAUUAAGUCAAUGGUCUAUUCUAGAACUUUUUCUCACUGUUUAUGUUGUUUAUUUGACGAUCGAUUUGGCCUUCAUUUGUAGUACGGUUCAUGAAGUUGUAUUAAUUUUACAUGGCAGGUUGAACAGGAGAAUACUAUAAUAGAAAUUCUGGAGCUUGUUUGUUAUUGUGCUCAUAAAUGCCGAAGUGUUACUUCAAAUGUUUGUAGUAUUCUGGCUGCCCAAUUAAAAGAAUUAGCCAUUCACAUGAAAAAACAUUAUGUUGAAUUAACAGGUUCUCAGGUAAUCACUUUAGCAGUUUAUUGGUGUUAUUUAUUUCUUUAACAAGUCCUAUGAAUUAAUGGGAAAAACUUCGGUUAAGGAAAGUCCUACUUAUGACAGAAUUGGUUCUUUUGAAGGAUGAGCUACCCACUGAUUUGAUUCUGGGGCUUUAUGUUACUGGAUUGCUCAUUAAUGAGUCCUGUAUUCACGACUCAAGAGCUCUCUCCCUGGAUCACAAUGACGUGCUGCAAACGUUAAGCAGUUUGCUUAGCUUUUCGAAAUCUUAUUUUGAAAUAAGCAGCAAAGGAAGCAAAUAUCCACAGAAGAGAAUGCUCUAUCUUCUGUCUUACUUUGAUGCAUUGAGGUUCCUGUGCCAGCCACUUGCCGAGUAUGUUAUUUCAGCAAGGAAAGAAAUUCUUAGCGUAACAGAUGCUGGAUCCUUCAAUACUUACCUAGAAAUUAUCCAUGACGUGUUCAAGCAGUACAUUAACGUCUUCCUACACUACAGGUACAUCAUUAGCAUAUAGCACAAGUCCUGCAAUCCACUAAGUUUGAUUUUAGCUUACAUUCGAUAUGUUAACUUAUUAUAAUUUCUAAAUUAUAAAUACAAAGAACUGAAGUGUUUUACUUUGACAUGGAAUUGCAAAUUCUGAAGCCAUUACUGGGUCUAUUGGACUCGAUAUAUUAACAAAUGCAGUUUCCCUUUUUAACUAAGUCUUUUACUUCUCUGUUUAAACUGAUUUAGUUAUUUACUGGUCUUUUUCAUCGUUUAGAUUGUCUUGGUACUUCUAUCUAAUUGAUUUCUCCAUAGGCUAUGUUAUGUAAACCAUAUGUUUUUCACCUUUUUGGAUGCAGUGCCGCUGAUAGCAAGCAAGAUCCCUGUGAAGAUAACAACAGGGUGUUACUUCUCGUAGCAGUCGCUGCUUUCACUCUCUCUUUAAGCACAAAACAUGAUAUCAAGGUUUCUUGUUCAUGCUACUAAGUUGAUUAAGAUUUCUGUUAUCAUGUAACACUACUACUAUCCCAUAUGACAUAUUAUAUAUCAUUCAAUAAUAGAAACAGACUAGCUCCACUUUAACAGUGAAUUAUAUCUUUCUCUCUUUCUUUGUAAUUGCAGGAAGCUGUUAGAUUUCUCAAGUAUCUCAUUUCAAGUGAGCGGGUCCAAGCCAAUGGACUUAAGUAUCUCUUCACCUCUUUUUACAACAUUGCUGUCGUAUUGUACAGAAAUAAGCAAAUGAAAGAGGUAUGAACAGCUGAAGAGAUUCUUGUAAUCUUUUUCCACUGUUUUUACUUUCCACAUGAUUGGUUUAUUAUUAAUGAAGAUGAUGAUCGUGUUUAUUAUUCAGUUCCAAGUUUUUGAUGCGUUGUCAAAUUUGAAGCAAAAUAACCUUUAAUCAAGGAACUCAGAUCAUUGAGAAUUGUAGUAUUUUGGGUGGAUGAGAGAGAAGGGAAAGGCCUGUGUUAUGGCAUAAUGUGGAACUUCUGAAAGAUGUUUAUGUUAGAGGAGUGAAUUUUAAUGGACAUGUGAUGAUGUUUUGCUGCAGAUGCUCUAAUUUAAUAGGAGCCUGCAUAAAUAAGAGUGAUGUCUGGUCCAUAAGCUCACUUAAUUGCAAAAGCACUUCGGGAAAUUCUGAACGCAUGAAAGUAACAAAACAUCUAUCAGAAAUAUAAAGAGAUAGGAAAACUGUUUGCUCAUGUCUUGAAUAUCUACUCUGGUAAAGAUAGAAAACCUGGAAUACUUUUUCCUCUUAAGUGGUGGGAGUUUGAAUCCUACUGCCAACACUAAUUCAUUUACCUUACAGAAAAAAGAAUAAAGAAAACAUGGAAUAAUUUUUAAAGGGUGAGAAGUUUGACAUAUAGAAGCAGCAUAUGAUAGUGUUGUCUAUAUUUUGGACAGAGUUGGUUGAAGUCACUUCCCUGACUUCAUUACCUGCGUAAGUUCUGCAUUUGUUUUCACUCUUAAGAAAUGAUAAGACGAGCCUUGAUCAAAAAGAAAUGAUAAGACGAGCCUAGGAAGAUCUAAUUUCCUAUUCCUUUUAUUUUGUACAUCAUUUUAGUAAGUGGUAAACUAGUUCCUCCAUACCAUCAUUUUAUUGAUGUCCUCUCCGAAUCUCAGUUUACACAGUCAUAGUGCAUAAAACGUUGAUCCAGUAUCAACUGUUACUGGAAGAAAAAGUGUCCUUGCAUAUUCCCGUUCAAAUUUUGAUUAUAUCAUUCCUUUCCUUGCAGGCUGCUAAAGCUUUGACUCUAUGCUGCAAAGCAUCUUGGAGUCGUGUCUUAUGUCUUUGUGAAUUGUUUAAGCAUGAGUCAGAUAAAUUUCAGAAUGAUCUGACAGAAGAUGAUGUGAUUGGUUUCAUUGACGAGGCGUGUGAGAAAACUGCUUUUCUUUUGGAGGUGCUUCAACAUAGCGGUGAGUGUAAGGUACAAAAGAUCCUCAUUGAUAGCCUUAAAAGCUGGUCUGCUGCACAGCAUUUGUUUAAAAAACUACCAAGUCCCAUAUCUGUAGUGAAACAAUUUGUGAAGGUAAAAUCCCAAGUUUCAUUUGUUAGCCUCUCUUAUCAUCCUUUCAUUUUAUGCAGUAGUGAAAAUUAUAUUGGUCUAUCUCACUUCUUGUUAAGGAAUUUCUCUGAUGUGGAUCUGCUUUCAGAUGGAAUUGAAAGUUAAUGAUGUGGAUACUGAAGAAGGCACCACUACAUUGUAUUCUUUGCUGUCACCUUUUGUAGAAUCAAAACAGGCUCUUGGAAUCAUUUUGGAGCAGGUUCUAAUACAAACUCUUCCUGGCUGGGCUUGAUAAUAGUUAUAACCUCUUUCGGCAAUUACAUUUGAUUUAGUGUGCUUUGUUUGCUCAACAGUAGGUGCUGCUAACAACUGAUUCUUGUACUUCAUCAGGAGCUUAUGGUAUAUAGAGAUUUGAAUGUACGAAAUCCAAGAUUAUGUCAGGAAAUGUGCUUGAAAAUUAUAGGUCUUCUUUUACAAGAAGUAUAUGUCUCCAAGGACAGCUAUUUACAGAGAUGUAGAUCCCUUAUUGUUAAGGGAGAGGUGUUAAGAGCGCGUGGAUUUCAGUAUCUGAAAGAUUGCAUUCAGUGUCUAUCCGAGGCAAUAGCUACAGUAGUAAGUCAUUUAUUUGUGUCUGCCUCUUUAUCUGCAGUGUCUAGUUGAUGUUGGUAAUUAUGUCAGGUUAUGCCUUUUGCAGGAAAGUUCUUUAGAACAGAAAAACUAUGGAGAAAAUUUAGCCUGCACUAAUUCAGCUUCUCAUCUGGCAGCCUAUGCAUAUUGUGCACGUGCACUCUGUACCAGUGAGAUUGAACCAAACUCAAAGGUGCUACAGCCUAAAAUCCUGAUGUCCUGCAUUGAUAUGUUUCCUUGGGUGGCAAACAGUUGGCUGUGAUGACCUUCCUUUUUGGAACUUGGAAUGAAAAGGAGGGAGUUCGUCCUUUUCCAUUUUUAUUAUAAAUGUGUUAGAAUAUCCCAUAUUGGUUAAGGAAAGUUGCUCCUUGUAUAAACUUAGGCAGUUCUCCCUUACUAACUAGCUUUUGGAUUGAAUUAGGCUCAAGAUUUAUUUUCUUAACAUGGUAUUAGAGCAAGACAUAUCCCUUAUCCUUGGUUUACCCAUUUACCAAUGUUGGGUCCUUAUGUUUGAUUGUCCACACUCUAGAUGUAGCCAUCGAUAUGGGGGUGGGUGGGUUAGGAUGUCCCCAUUGGUUGAUGGAAGCAAUCCUUACCUCACGAACUUGUUAUUUUGGGUUGAGUUAGGUUCAAGGUCCAUUUUCCUCACGAUUUGAUUGGUCUAUUGAAGAGAAAGAAAUCUGAAAAAUUUUCUUAUCAUUUUCAACUCUAUCUCACAACAAAUGAGCCAAUUAGUGUACUUUUUCAUAGUUUUUUCUAUGUUUAGCUAAUUCCUUUCUCUUGAAUUAGAAAACCGUUCCUGUAUUUGCUGAAUACUGGUCUAUUAUUUUAUCCCCCCGUCUUUCUUUUUUGAACAGAGACUUUAUGAAGAUAUACAUGCUGCAGCUAGACUCUGGAUGAGUCUGAACCACUGCCAUGCAUCUGAUCAGUGUAGGAUGUCUGAAACUAUGUUGAAUACAUUGCAUCAGAUUGUUGACUUGUUAUCAUUGAAGGUAAUUUCUAAUCUUGAUGUCACUUUGUAUUUGCAAUGGACUUGGUAGAUGGGCCUUGUAUUCAGUCAUUUGAAUAUGCAUCUCAAGUUUUAACUGAUCAGAACCUUUAUUGCCCUUUAAACUUUUCUCUUUCUAGUCGUUCUGACUGGUCUUAUAUCUUUGAUGGCUUAUGCAUCAGUUUUGGGAGGUUUGUGAUACUAAGUUUGGUUUUGUUUCAUGUGAAUGAUCUUUCUAGUUGUAGGACCCACAAGGAGCAUUUUUCAAUUCAAGAAGUGGUCUUUAGGAAUCCCUUCCUACGAUGCAAUUUUCUUGACGGAUAAAUGUUUCGUUAGCAUAUACUAGAAAUGCUUUUUGAGAAAUAAAUAGUCAUUGCUUGUCUCCUGAAGGCUUCUUCCCAGUAGAUUUAAAGAAACAGGGAUUUUUUCAAGAGUUAUUUAUUGCUCACUUAUUAAAAUGCAUAAUAUUGUUCUUCUGGUUCAACAGUAGCUUUAAUUCUUAAAAGAUUCUCCAAAGGUUCUCUGAACACAAUACUGAUUGGUCUUAAUUUUUUCUGCCUUUCCUGUAAACAUGCAUGUGUGUGUCUAAAUAUUUUGAAGAAUGUGAACUUUUGGUGUUGAGAUAUGCCAAUUUUCAUAAACUCUAUUAUCUUGUGCCUUCAUUUUUCAGGGCUACCUGGAAAUCCAUUCAAACAUAUAUGAGAUGAUGAUACAAAUAUUUAUGAAGAAUAUUCCAUUAGAGAAGUCUGUGUCGUUACUGUGGAGAUAUAGAAGACUUAGUCAUGCACUCUGUACAUCACCUGUGAAUGAAAUGUUCAUCAAAACAUUGUCGAACCAUUGUGGUGAACUUUCCAAGUCUGUUGAAUACUGGAUGAAGUGCAUGAAAGAAUCUCAACCACAAUUAAUUGGGUUUCAGCAGAGCUUCUUUCUAACCCUUAGUCUUUCUUCUAAAGUGUCUCGUAAUUAUCAAAGCUUUCUCCACUGUGACAUUACAGAGGAUAAAGUUAAGCUCACUGCUUCAGAGCUUAUUCACGCUGUAAGCUUCUAAUGUAGACACACCAAAUUAUGUUGCAUUUAUUCAGGCUAACAGAGUGUGGUUGCAUCUUCUAAUCUGAUCUGCUAUUUGUUCUUGGGUAGCCUGAUUCUAAAUGGACGACUUAUUGAGGUAAAAUAAUGGCCAUAGUAUUUUGGAUGAUUAUGGGGCUGCAACUUAAAGCUUUCUUCCUUAUUUGUUUGAACCAAUAUCACUCUUUCUGGGUACUCUUAAAAUGUUUUGCCAGAAGAAAGUACAUCCAAUGUGGGUGCCCCUGCUUGGGAUUUUACCUUUUCAGCUUCGAUUCUUGGGUUAACAUACCUCAGCAGACCACAUGGAUCCAUGCUCCAAGAGAAGAUUAUCUGUCUAUUAUGUAAAAAUAGGACCAUAAAGUGGGGUGGAGGGACGUUUUUGUGGUUUUUGUUUCAAAACUAAAAAUUAUUCUCUAAUUUUGGGCAUGAUACUGACUAUUAUUGCAAAUUGUUGAGCUACUCUUUAAUGUUAAUGCAAUGCCUGUAGGCUCUUGUUUAUGCAAAAGAAGCCCAUUGUUUACGAAGUAAACUUCUUCAAGAUAACUUCCACCAUCAGAUAGAGCAGCAGGGUGAGGUAUAUGGUCUUACAAAAUUCCAGAUACAUGAUUCUGUGGCUGCAAAGGCUUGGUUUCCUGAAAGUGUCUCAUUUGACUUUGACGGUUCUACGCUUACUCCUUGGACUAUCCUCCAAUGUUAUCUGGAAAGCAUUUUACAGGUAUAUCAUUAUUUUAUUUAUUCCCUAGAAAAUGGACACAUUUCUCUAUUUAGUAACAAUUUAACUUUAAAUUUUCAUUUUAUUCUUAAUGAAAUGAUUUAUAACCACACAAACAUUUUAAACUUAUUUUAGGCCACAAAUUUCAAAAGUCUUUCUUUCUUAAACUCCAUGCCAAGUCAAACUAACUCACAUAAGUUGGGAAGGAGGGAGUAUUAUAAUUGUCAAUAUUUUACUUACCCAAAAGUAGUUCGUUAACUUUAAUUGGAUGUGUUUUGGAGAAUCUAAUCGAUCAUGAUAACAUAGACUAAUAUAACAGGUUGGAACUGUUCAUGAGAUGCUUGGAAAUGGAACUGAGGCUAAGACACUUCUAUUGUGGGGGAAGGACAUCUCUUGUUUCCAGAGUUUGCCACUCUUCAUAAUUUCAUUCUGUUGUAUGUUAGGUAAUGUUUUUUCCCAAUCUCAUUACGCUUUCUCAUAUAUCACAAUGAAUUUUUUUACGGAACUUUCUGCAUUUUGAAUUUAGUGUCUUCUUAAUAUUUAUCAGGAAAGCUAUACACUAAACAACAUCUCCUGGAGUUGGCAGAAAAGGAACUCAAUACUGCUAAGCAAAUAUUGGCUGAAAACUAUGAUGCCAUCUCUUGCCUAAAAUGCAGAAUUAUUUUAGAAGUUUCAAUUGAUCUGCUACUAGGAGAUCUAUGGAGGCACCAACAUUGUAAUACUACCUCCACAGUGGAAUUUGUAUAUAGUGUUAAAGAGAAGUAUAAAUCUGCCUUGGAGAAGCUGAAUAACUUUGGCUGGGAGGAUUAUGUUGGUUGUCCUUUAGGAGCAAGUUCCCAGCAUACCAAACACCAGGCUACUUAUUCAUUUGCAAACGGUGCAACAGAGCCUUCAGAUCUGAAGGAGUACUCAUCCCAGAAGGACAAGCUGGGAAGUGCUGUUGAAGGCAGAAGGACUAGGAAGACCAAGAAGGAGUCCGGACAUAAUUUAAGGAUGACGCGGUCGAGAUAUCACUCUAUGAAAAAAUGUGAAAGUUCUGUGGAUGAUGAACAUGCUAAUGAUGCUGAAGACAUGGGCUGUAAGCACCUUUUACUAAUAUGUUUUUUUUCAGCGAGCUUAAGAUAGAAGUUGCUUUUCAUUGCCAAUUUUGAUCAUUUAAGUCACAGGUAUGUGCUACAAAUUGAAGUGUUGGCACCAUCUUCCUCUUGAGAUUCUCCGAUCUGGGUCUUUGAGUAAUUUCGUAUGCUUGAAAUGGGAGCUUGUUCGCAGACAACUUUCGCUGAGGCUUCUUACUACAAUGGGUAGCAUGACCUUCCUUCUGGAUACCAUUGUGCUUAUUUUCCUUUAUCACCUUCUUUAUCUGUGACUCUGGGUUGGUUUCUAGUAUACGACAUAUUAUACAUGCUCAAAAAUCAACAUUUCGUUAGAGAAUAUUUCCCAUGAAUAUAUUACUAGUAAUAAACUCACAGCUCCUCCCUGAAUGUCAGAAGAUAAUGAGUAAAUUGUCACAUUACUGGUGUUGAGGUGUAGGAGUAACCUGAAGCUCCAGGUUCAGCAAGUUACAAAAUUCGAUGCAAGUCCAUCGGCUUCAGUCCUGGUGGGAGGUUUACUCCUGUACUUUUGUAUAUUGCAGGUUGCCUUGUGGAAUAGUCAUUUAAGCAAACUGCUGGCCUGGAUCACCAGCAUAUACGAAAUUAUUAGUGUUUCUCAUAGUUUGUGUUGUCCACAUUAAGAGCAUGGAGGCAUUAUGCUUCAAUAGUGGUGUACAGUGUUGCUAAAAGCAGCAGAGUGAUGUUGAAGCAGGGGUCAUCUCUUCUCUUGGGUUAAGCGAAAUGACUUCAAAGAAUCGAGUGCUUCGUGCAAUGAAGCUUAAAACGGUCUGAGCAAGAAGCAUUUGAAUAUUUGAAUUAAGUUUUUAAGAUGAGAGAAAAAAGGGUAACAUUGGAGCCUUUUGCCAUCUUAGUGCUUGUAGUUUCUUGUUCAUACUGUUCUGAUGAUGCUUGUGAUCUUGAAUAGAUAGUUUAUUGUAUUACUCCGUCGGUGGCUUGUUUCUUUUAUUAUCUAGGGGUGUGUUAUCCUAUUUUGUUGUUUAUUUUUAUGUUUUUUGUUUGUUAUACUGUUAUCAUUCCUGAGCUGGGGGUCUAUCAGAAACAACCUCUCUACUUCAUCUGAGGUAGUGGUAUGGACUGUGUACACUUUACCCUCCCCAGACCUCACUUUGUGGGAAUACACUCGGUGUGUUGUUGUUGUUGUUUGUUGCUUGUCAUCUGAGUGCUGGGAAUGAGUUAGUUUUCUUUUCUAUAUCUAUCUUGUUUUUAUUUACUAAUUCUUUAUUAAUAACUCAUGGUUUGGAAACUUUAAAAUGGAACAUGCACUUAAAGAUAAGUACUUGUAAAAUUCCUAAAGCAAUUAAACAUGGAAGUCAAUACUAACUCUAGUUCUUUUCAAUGGGUUAUUUCAAUGCACAUAGAAAAUCAAAUUUUCAAUUGAAGUUAUCUUUUCUUGUGUUUGUGGAAAUUGUAUUUUCGAUGAUAUGUAACCUUAGUUUUUGGGAUUAAUGUUGUCAUUGUUGUAUAGUGGUUUCUGAAAAUAGUGAAGCUAGUUGCAAAUUUGAUUUUAUUAGUACUAGUUUCCUGUCUGUUUGAUAAUAUUUGUUUUCCUGUAAAUUGAGCUCUUAAUUUUUGAAAAAGGUGCACAUCUUCUUGUGUGUCCCAUUUUUGUGCCUUUUGAUUUUAAAAGCACAUGGCAAAGAUUUUUCAGCCUUUUGACCACUUAACACUUGCGGGGCAAUUAUCAAAACUGUAGACCUGUUUCAGGUGCUAUCGUGUCUUAUUAAAAUAUCUAACUGAGGGUUCUAAAUUUAGAGGGAGAUUAAGGUUGUAAUAAAAGUGAAGCACCUACCUGUGCAACUGGUCAUUAGUACUUUUAUAUGGAACUUAUGGCCAUGUGUAUUAUUGAUAAUGUUAAUUUGAAGUUGGAUCCUUUUGUGCUAUGAGGUAGUGUAUAUUGAAAACAUGUUAUAUUUUGACAAACUCAUUCAAUUUGGCCUUGGUUUUUGUAUUGCUUGUGUGCAUGUUUGAGCUAAUUGAGCUACUCUUUCAUUUUUGUUUUUUUGAUGAAAUUGCUGCUCAGUUCCUUCUUUCAAUUUCAUUGAACCAGUGAACUCUGUGAUCCACUUGCUGCCCUAAUAUCUUCUAGACACUGUAGACUUUCCAUGCCUAAAUGAUUGCCCCUGCUUAAACUUGAAUGCUUGAGUUGCAGGUGACAGUGUUAGAAUUAUGCAAUAAUCAUACCUCUUAUCUUUUUCACUCUUAUUAUGUUUUUCAACUUCUUCAUUGGCCUUACCUCUUAUCUUGUGCGUGGCAGGAAAAUGCUUAGGUCUUUCUGGUGAUAGCCAUGAAUCACAAAAGCUUGUUCUUCAAAGUGUUUCGCUGUUCAGUUCAGAUCCAUCUUGUCCCAAAUUUUCUUCUCUGCCUCUAAUGUCCUUGGUUGAUCAGAUGGGACACGAUAUUUGGGUGGUUGAAUUGGCUGUUGAUCAUUCAGUUAUACUCUACCACAUUUGCUAUUCCGUUUUGAAUAGCUAUACUUGCAAAUCAACCAGGUAUGCAUGCAGAAAUAUAUGCAAGUUGUCAUGUCUUUUCGUAUCUUGAACUUUGAACUGAAUCAAAGUUGCUAUCAACUCUAUUAUGAAUUCCGAAGUCCAAAUUACUGGUGUAAAUGCAAUAGCAAUAUUAAUUUGUUGUGUUUGACAAUCUUCAGCAGCUGAGACAUUGUUGAUAAAAUUUUUCUUGAAAACUUAACAAAGGUCUGUCAAUGAUGUUAAAGAAACGUAACCCAAAAGCUAGUUCAAGAUGUAAAAAUUGCCCAAGCCAUAAAAAGAGCCCAAGUCAUCCCUUAGCCGACGUGGAAGACUCAACAAAUGCUAAAUAAAUUAACACUUUUGUCCUUCCAUUUAAGGCAUCCAACAACUACAAAUUCUUGUUGUCCUUCCAUGAACACUUUUCUUUCACGUCUCCUGUAAAUUCGUGGCUUAUUUCUCUCUUUAGAGUGAGACUUUUCCUUAUAGAAGUAAAAAAACACAAAUCUUCUAUUAAGGCACUAUUUUAGUCUUUCCCCCUUAAUUAUUCAUGUCAUUAGGUCUGCUGUAAAUGGCAGCUGAUGUAGCUUCUAGUUAGCUUUUCAAUAAUUUUUAGGUGACUUGCUUUCUUUUGGUGUGUUGGCUACUUUAGUUGCUCAAUAAUCCUUAUUUUUUAUACUUGCUCUAGUCUCAUCCACAGUUAGUAAUACGACCCCAAAGGUUGUGUAUGCUUGGUUUUCAAAUUGAAUAUCCAUCUUUCAAAUAAUCACGAAGUAGGAGAAUUUUGUGGGUCCCACUGUUACUUCUCUCAAAUUGAACCAGCUUGGACGGGUUAUUGAACAGUCUAUUUAUUAACUUAGUGCAUCUUGACCCAUCCAAAUUUAGUCCAUCUAAGUUGGACUGAUUUGGGCCAAGUAUGUUGCAUGAAUCAGCCUAUGAAAACUGUCAAAAUAUUUAACUAAAAAACUUUAUUUGUUUGACAUUUUAAAUAUAGCUGUGAUAAAGAUGAACAGAAGUUUUAUUGUUUGCCUGGUAAUUAAACAAACAAAGAAAUUAAAACUUGGUAAGAGUUGAGUGGCUCAUGACCCAUUGUUUAGUCCGCUUUGACCACCUAACCCAUCUCAACAUAACUAGCUUUUGGGUAGAGUUGGACAAUACCCAUGUAUGGAUUCAAUCAUUUUGACCCUGCUCAGUUUGGCCCAAAUCGUCCAUUUGCCACCCUAGAACCAAGAUAGUGGUGCCUACAUAUAGAUAUAUCAUAUAUUGUAAUGGGGAUGAUUUGUCAAAACAUUUUCAUUAAUAUAUGUAUGUAAGAUAGUAGCCACAUAUUUCCUUUGCUGUGUACAUUUUUCCUGUCGUAAAUUGUAGACUGUUGUAAUGCAUUCGCAUUAAGAUUCAGUUCGUCAUUAUAUUUUCGUUUGUCCUCCUGAACAGCCUUUCUACUUCAUCAGAGGUAGAGGUAUGGACUGCGUACAUCUUACCCCCCCCCAGACCCCACUAGGUGGGAAUACACUGGGUUUGUUGUUGUUGUUGUUGUUGUUGUCCUCCUGAAUUUCUUUCUUAUGCAGGAAAACUAGCUGUAAAGAAUGCCGUAAUUUUUCAUACAUAAAGUUAUCAAAAGUUAUUGGUUGGCUGAAGCUGGCCUUCAUUCUCAGUCGUGAGAUUCCUUUGCUUUCUCAAAAGGUUAGACUUUGAUUUAGUUGAUCUGUAUUUGAUAUUCCUCUAUUAGCUAAGUGUAUACUUCAACAAUCUUGUUUGUGUUUUCUACAUUGAGAGACUUGCAUUCAUCUUUAUAAGUCUGUUUCCUUUUCACUCACUUGGAAUUAUCUCCUUUGGAUAUGUACAUUUACAAUAUGCUAUACAGAAAUUCCCCUAAGCGCUUCACAUUACGUUCUUGCAAACAAAACAUAAGGUGGAUGAGUACAUAUAUAAUAAUUGUCUGCACUGGCCUCUGAGAGAACAAAUUGCUAACUAGUAACAAAGGUUAAUGUCCUGAAGUCAAUAAAUAAAAAGACUGUUGCAAUUCUGUAUUUUAUAAAGUACAAAUAUCUUUCAUUUAGCUUUCUGGUUCUUGCAUGUAUGGGUUGAUUUUCUUAGGUGGCAGCUCUAAUAAUCUUUUGGUGUUCAUUUCUUGUGGGUCUGUACUGCAAUGAUUUCUGCAAAUAUGCAAUAUUAAAUCAUUAUAUGCUUAUUCUUUCAGUGUAUGUUUUAGAUGUUAAAUAAACAUAUGUCAAUUUGUUUUGUUUUUGUCCAAUUUGUAACAUCUGAAGCAGUUUGAUACCCAGGAAAUUGACUUUUAUUGCAAUUCACCAGAUUUCCAGGUUGCUUGCGGCAGUUUAUGUACUUUCUACUUCUGUUAAGUCUUUUAGUAUAGCACCUAGCAAAGCAAUCUCUGAGAACCAAUGGGCGUCGUUUUUUCAUCAAGCUUCAAUUGGUACUCAUCUCAAUCAACACUUCUUUUCUUGCCCAUUGAAGAAGCAGAAAGCUGAACAUGUUGUGCAUUAUGAGGUAUGUGUUUCUGAGUUUAGUUUUCAUCAACAACUGCUCUACAAGAAGUUUUUCUUCGUCGUGCUUGUAUAAGGUUUUCACCAGUUAUUUGUUAUGCAGUUUUAACCCCUAAUCUUAGCUGUGUGUUCUGCAUAACGGUUGCACCUAAUACUAGCAACAUGAUCUCUUACAGUCUUGCCUUUUUUUAGCGUUAAGGACUUUGUAGUUCCAUGUGUUCCUUUUGCUUUUAACAGUUUGCAGCAGAUGACGGGCAACAGUUGGUUAUAAUACAAUAAGGGGUCGUUUGGUAGAGUGUAUAAGAUAAUACUGAAUAGACUGUAUUAGUAAUGCUAAGAUUAGUAGUGCAGGGAUUAGUUAUACUAGGAUUAGUAAUACUGAGAUUAUUUUUUAUGCAGUGUUUGGUUUGAUGUAUUGAAAAUAAUAUGUAUUGUUAUAUUUUAAAAAAAAUAUUGUUUGUUUACAAAAAUACUCUCGACAUAUUAUAACUGUAUAUUUUCUUUGCAAAACUUUAUUUUUCUUUUUUAAAAUAAAAAAAUUAACAAUAUAACUAAUUUUUUGCUUUAAAAUUUUAAGAUUUAAUUAUUCACUUGCAAUUUUUUUUUGUUUUCUUUUCUUUAUUUGUUCAUCAUUUACUUGUUGUUCCCACUUUGUGGUAUUUUGAAGCUGGAGGGAGGUACGUGUAACUUUUGAAUGAGACAAUAGAAUCAUUAUUAACAUAAAAUUGUGUUCAGUAGAGUGUUAAAACUAAGCUGAAAAAUUAUUUUUAUUUAUGAAUAGCCUAUUUACAAAAUUAAAGUUUGUAUGCAAUCAUGCAAUUUAUUUUUGGAUUUUGACCAAUAAGUAUUUUUUAAGUUAAUGAAGUAGUUUUUUUAUGACAAAUUAUUUGGAGAGAUAUUAUUAUCUUGAUAAAUUGAAAAGAAGUAAAUCAGAUUGAAAAAAGUGAAAAAAGAUUAGAAAAAAAAAAAAAAAGGCAGCCCGGUGCAUUAAAGCUACCGCUAUGCGCGGUGUCUGGAGAAGGGCCCCACCACAAGGGUGUCUCGUACGCAGCCUUACCUUGCAUUUCUGCCAGAGGCUGUUUCCAAGGUUUGAACCCGUGACCUCCUGAUCACAUGGCAGCAACUUUACCAGUUACUCCAAGGCUCCCCUUUAAAAAGAUUUAGAAAAAAAUAAUUGAAGAAAUUUGAGGGAAUUUCUGUAAAUAAUAAUAAAAUUUAUAAACUAAUUUAUUUAAAUAAAUUUAUUAUUACAAAUAUAAAAAAAUAAAAUUAAGAAAAUAAAAAAAUAUUUAAAAGAAUUUGAGGGAUAUUUUUGUUUUUACACAUUAGUCCAUGGUAUUAAAACUCAUGUAUUACUAAUAAUACCAUAUGGGAUGUAUUAGUAAUACACCCUAUAAUACCAUGUAGGGUAUAUAACUAAUGCAUGGUAUUAGUAAUACAUAGGUUCAAAAUCCUACCAAACAUAGUACUAAGUAAUACCACACUUAAUACAUGGACGAUUUCUCCUAAUACAUCCUACCAAACGACCCCUAAGUGGUACAAAAGUGAGCUAAGCCUGAAUCUGAGUGGGUUCACCUGAUAUAUUUUAGUGAAGUUGAAGUCUAAAGUCAGAAGUAAUCAUACAACCUUUAUUGGGUUUUCCUCCGAAUCUAUCCACUUGUGUUUCUGACUAUGAGCAUCGACAAUUAUCUUAUGCUGUGGUUGUUCUUCUAUAGUCGUGUUAUUGAUCGCCAAUCACUAAGCUAGCAUGACAUUCGUUACCCUUCUCUCCUUGAAACAAAAUAUUGUCUUAAGGGUUGGAUUCCUUGGGCAGAUCUUUUGGGAGCAUAAAAUCUUCUUUUGGGAUAGCAGACAGAGUGAUUAAUGAUAAAUCAGAUAGAAAAUGAGAUUAAAAACUGGGAAGAAAAGUCAAAAUGAGGAAGUUAACUUUCUCCAAGGAAAACGCGGAGCAGUAUUCGCAGAGUAAAUCAAAAGUUUCUGACUCUAAGGAGCAAUCUUGGAGCCCUAAACAUAAACAUAGCAUUCUGUCCGCACUGUAAAAGACCACUAAGGUAAAGUCCCAGCCCGCAAACAACAACAUACCCUGCGUAAUCCCACAAAGUCACAGCCAGCAGCAAAGCUUUUACAAAAUCUCACUAAAGCCUAAAAGGCAACCCAAUAUUGAAUNNNNNNNNNNNNNNNNNNNNNNNNNNNNNNNGCACUUAUAUCUAUGGAUUUUGCUGUUUUCAGGGUUCAUGUUCCUCAAGCCAACAGUUUCUUAGUUCAGAAGAACCUAACAUGCUCAGGUAUUUCUUGGUCUUAGCAUGAAUUAAGCACCUUUGCUAAGAAGAUGUGCUCAUUUCUGUUUCAUCUGCAUCCUCUUUUGAUGCAGGUUUACACCUGAGUCAGUUGAAGAUCUUGAAGAUUUUGUUUCGAGAUUCUUUGAGAGCCUGCCUUCUUGUACAAUUGUCUGUCUUAGCUUGCUUGGACGCUCUGUUUCCAGUUUGUUGACUGAAUUGUUGCAUUCUCCAUACCCCAUUCAAUCAUGGGUUUUGUUAUCCCGCAUGAGCUCGACUAGUCAUCCCAUCACUGUAAUUUUGCCGGUGCAUUCUGUCUUAAAUGGUAAUAGUCUUGUACUCCAAAUUGAUCAGUAAAUUCUUGGAAGGCAUCCAUCACUUAUUCUUCCUUUUUGCCAUCAGAAGUUGGAGAUGAUGUCGCUGAAUUCAUUUCCAGUUCUUCAUUUGAAGUCAAAGACAAGCACUGGCGUUGCCCUUGGGUAUACAGCGUGAUUGAUGAUGUGGCACCAGUCUUUAGAGAUAUAUUAGAGAAUAAUUAUUUAUCCUCUUCUGUACACCUAUUAGAAGAUACUGCAGAGAGCAGAUCAUCAUGGUGGAAGUGGAGGAAACAACUUGAUAAGCGCCUUGCUAAUUUCUUACGGUUAGUCUUAUUUAAAUAAUUCUUCAUCUACUUUAGUGUUCCAUGCAAAAGUUCAUCUCCCUUAAUUUGGAUGGUCUUCAAUACUGAAUUCUUGGAAUUUUGGCUGCUCGCAAGAGUUCAGUUGACCUUUCCGUUUGGUAGUUAAGAGUGAAGUCACUAAAUGUGAUGCUUAUCAUUGCUAUCAUGAUGACAAUUCACUUACAAAUAAUGCACAUCAGAGUAUUUUACAUUUCAACUUUAUAUGCCUCAGGAAUCUAGAGGAUUCAUGGUUAGGUCCUUGGAGAUUCUUGCUUUUGGGGGAAUUGUCAGAAUGUGAGCUCCUGGAUUCCUUAGUGAAGAAACUCUAUGAUCAUUUUCGACGUAAAGCUGGAGCAGAUGUUCAUGAAAGUCUUCUUAAAGUAAUUCUUGGAGGUGCAAAGUACGCUUGUGAGAAAGAAAAUUGCAUUUCUCAGAUGGUUAUAAAUAAAGGAUGUCACCUACAUGGAGGGGGUCAUGGAAACUCGCAAGUGUUGUAUAAGACAUCUACAGAAGUUGAAUGUCUCUAUGAUUCAGUAUACAAGUCUAUACUUGAUGAAGCUCAAGGGAUGGAAGAGACUGAAUCCAUAAGUAGAAGACCAGUUAUUCUUGUUUUGGAUCUUGAGGUGCAGGUGUGUUUACUUUUGCUGUUGCUUUUCCUGGUUAUUCUAUUAUUAUUGGUUUCUUGAAGAGUAUUGAUUCAACUUUGUGCUUCAUUAUAUCUGAAAGUUUCUUACACUAGCCAAAAGCUUUGCAGAAAGGACAUAUAAAGUCCUCCCAUGUUUCAGGAAGUUGCAAUUCUGGGAAAUGAUAGAUUUGUUAAAUAUUGCACUUUGUUAUAUCUUGUAGCCCAUACAUUGUGCAUAGUGUGCUGCAACUGUUUGAACUUCCCCAAGUAGGAGAAGUUUCUCUGCUAAUUGGCAAAAUUCUAGUAAAUUCUUUUUUUACACGGAAGGUUUUGGUUAGAAAACUAAAUGGCGACUUCUGCAGAUGCUUCCUUGGGAGAACCUACCGGUAUUAAGAAACCAGCAGGUUUAUCGCAUGCCUUCAGUUAGCAGCAUCAGAGCAACGCUGAUCAAGUCUUGCCAAUAUCAACAGCAAGUUCAGAUGGGGGGAUCUCUUAUGAAAGAAGGGGUUCCAUCACCUUCUAUUCCACUGAUUGAUCCACUGGAUUCCUAUUAUCUUUUGAAUCCAAGUGGAGAUCUUAGUAGCACACAGAGUGAAUUUGAAAACUGGUUCAGAGAUCAGGAUUUUGAGGUACUUCUCCAAUCUACUCCUGGAAUUAGAACCAGUAAAAAGAAAGAAAACCCUUAGACUAAGUAUCACAUUUUGCCCUUUCUGCUUGUGCUUACAUGUAAAAUGUUCAUCUAUAUACAACAACAACAACAAACCCAGUAUAUUCCCACAAAGUAGGGUUUGGGGAGAGUAAGUGUACUCAAUCCAUACCACUACAAAGGUGAGAUAGAGGCAAAAUGUUCAUCUAUAUCCAUACUCCAAAAAAGUUAUGUUUUUUUUCUUCCUUUUUUCAUGAAUGCCAAUAGGGCCCUAUUAUUUUUAUUGAAUUUCUGCUGAAAAAUGAGAGAUAUGUUUUCCUUAAAUGGGAGGAAAAAUUAGUAAAAAGUUUUUUUUCUUUCUUUUGAUCGGGAAAAAAAGUAAUUUAUUUUAGUGGAAACUGCAGUGGUUCUAUUAUUUUUAGUUGUUUCCACUAAAAAAUAGUGAUAUAGACUUAUCUUAUAACUGAAAAUAAUUAGGAUAUAUAAACUUAUCGGUCAACUGGCCAACUACCUUAGUCCCAAAUUAAUUGGAUAUGUUAUAUUCAGAGGAUUCAGUAUAGUUAAGACCAAUUACAAGUUAGCUGUCGACUUACUCCAACCUUUCUUUACUCAUAUACAAGCUAGUACCUGUUUCUUUGAGAGCAGCUUAUGUGAACGGUGUACAAAUAAUCUUAUUGCUCCCUUAAAUAAAAAUAUAUACACACCCACACAUAUAAGCUCAAGGACUAAGAAACAUUCUGAAUUCAGAGUUUUUAACCAUGUCUUUCCGUUUAAAUUCAUCUCAAUGCAGUGUUAUACGAAUUAAAAUUUAGAAGUACUAAAAGUUCUCUAUAUGCUCUGUAGGUGUAAAAUAUCUGGUAGGAUAAAAAGACUUCUAAAAAAUACAAGGCUUAUGAUAAACGUACCAACAUGCCUAAAAUGUAUUUGUUACUAAUUGUUAUAGACUGCAUCAAUCAUUUUCUUUCAUUGUGCCCUAUAUGUCACCAAGUUUGCAUGGAUUUCAAGAGAUUGUAGGUAAAAUAAUUGGUCAUUCAAUAAACAUGAGCAUUAUUAUCUUAUACACAAAAUUCCAAGAGGUAGAUACAUCGAUAUCCUUAUCUUUCUGGCAUACUUUCGUGUAAAAAAUUGUGAUAUAAGAAUAGCGAGAGAAAGAUAAUUAAUAUGGUUUGUCACAUGCCUCUUCUUAGGAUAUUUUAAACAAAAGCAUGUUACUUUUGUUGUGCAGGGGAAGUGUGGAACUGCACCAGCAGUAGAAGAAUUGGCUGAGGCCUUGAAGAGGCAUGAUUUUUUUAUUUACUUUGGCCACGGAAGCGGUACGCUCAAGCUCAAUUUGAACUGAUCCAUGAUAUUAUCUUGGUUCAUUAGGUUUUACUCACUAUUGCCUACACGCUCUCUUAGAAAUAAUAUGUUGCUAUGCUGGUAUUUCAGGAACACAAUAUAUCCCCGAGCAUGAGGUGAAGAAACUUGAGAGUUGCGCUGCUACUCUGCUUAUGGGGUGCAGCAGUGGAUCACUGUAUCUGCAUGGAUGUUAUGCUCCUCGAGGUGCUCCACUGUGCUACCUAUUCGCAGGUUCUCCAGUUAUAGUUGCUAAUUUAUGGGAAGUGACAGACAAGGAUAUCGACAGAUUUGGAAAGAGCAUGCUUGAUGCUAUUUUAAGAGAAAGAUCAAAUGUUUCUUUUAGUUGUGACCAAUGUGAUACAAUUUCAGAUCAACUUGAUUCCUUGAAAAUUACAGAUAGAAAAAGAACGCAAAGGGUAAAGACAAAGAAAGAUACAACACCUGAUAUGUGUAAUAUGAAUGUAUCUACUAACCACUGUAACCAUAGACCAAAGAUUGGAUCAUUCAUGGGGCAAGCUCGAGGGGCAUGCACUCUCCCUUUUUUGAUUGGAGCAGCCCCAGUUUGUUAUGGUGUCCCCACAGGAAUAAUAAGCAAAAAAGAUUUGUAGUAUUAUAACAUUGUGUAUAUGAUAAUGUUGCACUCCCAUUCUUUAUUGCUUGUACUGUCAUGAAUCUUUUAUCAUUUUAGAUACUGUGUUCCCUUUUUUAAAGUCUGACCAAAGAUGAAAUAUGUAUCAAUCUCACUGAGGAACUUUCAAAUAUUGAUAUAUGAUAAGACUUGCUGAACCAACUCAGUGCUUGAACGAAUCAAAUCAGUUUGGGAACAUCGAAUCUGAUUCAGAUUUCCGUGAAGAGCUUUUCCGUCAUCGGAUUGUGCAAAUUCUAAUGCCAUUAACAUCCAACUUCCUGCUAAAAUAUAGUUUUAGAUAUAUGUCGUAUUCUGCAUGUUAUGUGGCACCCACAUUCACCAAUAUCAACACAGUUCACUAUUUUAAUUGAGAAACUAAUAAAUAGCCUUAAAUUUAUUUUAAUAAUCGCUAAACAGUUGAAUGAGUUAAUGUGUUUUAUUUGUACACUAAAAUCCAGAAUUUCCUUUCGCUUUAGUAUCAGUUUGGAACUACCUGAAUAGACUAUACUAGCACCAUGAGGCCUACCAGAAAAAUAGUCUCUUCCCAUGCCCACGCUAUACGAGUUCAUAUAACCAAGAACAAGUUUGGGCCUAGUCUGGUUUACAGGGGACGGGGUUCAUCAAAGGCAAACAACUACAGAUCUGUAUCACAUUCACAUAAGUUGGAAGUGGCAAAAGGUGAAAGAAAUGAAAAUGUACAUCAGAAAUUGCAUUCAUACAAGCUGAAUAGGUAAAAGGUGAAGAAGAAAUGAAAAUGUACAUCAGAAAUUGCAUUCAUACAAGAAUUGACAGAUAAAUGUUCAACAGACAGAAUAAGGAAAUUACAAAGUACAAAUCACAGUAAAACUGAGCUUUCUUCGAGUGCCAGCCAAUAAUUCUGACCCAUCCUACAAUCUACCAUGUAUCAAGCAUCAAUUUGAGGCAGAUGUGCAUGAGAAUGUUAGAGCACAGUUAAAUCCUAAACUAAGACCUAUAAUGAUUUCUUUUUUCACAACUUCAAACAUACACAAAUUACAACUAUCUCCGACCUGCGUUGGCCUCUCUACGUCUUCGUCUCCUCCCGGAGCGACCCAAAAGGACUCUACCUUCACGACGAAGACGUCCAACUAGUGAUAUACCACUAUCAUCAUUAUCAUCGCCACUAUUGUCACUGUCUUCAUCAGAGUACUCGAAACCACCAACUGGGAGGUUUCGAUCAACUCCACCAGCACCUCUAUCCAAAGUGUCACUUAUGUCUCUCUCGUGCCGCCUCACAACCCGAUUUGACCCAAUAUUCCCUGCUGAUCCAAAAGCCUGCAAAAACAGAAACACAUUCAUCAAGUUGCGAUCGAUGCCCAUUCCAAAACCUUCAUUCCCAUUCAUCAUCUCAUUCGCAUCAAAAUGCUCUUCAUCGUCUGAAUCAAAGCCAUAAUGACUUCCUUCUAUCACAUAAUCACCAAAAACCACAGCCCCUGGCAUAGAAGUAGUUAUAGUGCUGAUAACAUCAUCCCUCUCUCGUUCCCUCUCCAGCCUUCUCCAUUUUUGUUCAAGAAGAGGAUCUACCUCACGUGGCCGAGAACUGGGGUGCUCAGCCUUAACAUGUUUCCGUAUCUCCUUGUAGCUUCCAACAAACGAGCAAUCAUCCUGCAUGCAGCUACGCUUCUUCGUAUUUAGAUAGUCCCUUGCAGGUUCAACCACAGUCCAUCCCUUAACCUGGCCUCUACAUAGUGGGCAAGCAACUUCAGUGACCUCGCUUUUCCCAGAAGGCCAAGUAGAAAAUGGGUCAGCAAUUGGAGUAUCAGCAGAACCCUGCAUAGGUUGAUUAUUAUCUGGCAGUGUUGCUUUAGUGUAGGCUUUCUUGUACUGAUCGAGGCAGUUUGAAUAGCGUAAGCUAGUUCCACACAUGUAGGGGCGGCAACCUUUGUCAUGAGAGGAACACAGGAGCAGCACAGCAUUAUGAGGAUAUUCCAUGCAUACAGAACAUGUUGCAUCUUCCCAGUCUUUCUUCUCAAAGAUUUUGGGGCAUUUCUUUUGGUGAACAAGUUCAGAAUGGUUAGCAGAUGGCAAAGGGUAUGGGGUGGCCCUACAUCGUCGAGAACCAUUCCUACGUCGUCCUGUGGCCCCUUUUGCCAUUUCCUAAACAAAUCUGCACGAUCAGAACAUCAUAAUUUAGCAUGAUAGUACUAGAUUCAAAAGAGAGUGAAGUCACAUCAGAUAUCUGAUGGGUGCUCAAGUAGGCUUCCGAACUAUUUUAACUUUCUUAGAAAAAAAUAAUAUCCUUUCUAUUUUACGGUUCAAUGCAGGACCCAAGAACAGAGAUCUCGGGCAAAGAUGUUACAAUAUGCAGCAUAACUCAAUCAUAAAAUUCAGUGACAUUAUGUGUUCUAGCAAUGUGCAUAGUGUUGCUAAAAACAUGAAAGACAGAUCAAGCAUAAAACUAAGUGUAAAGUGUUUGUUUCAUUUUUGGUAUGUCUACAUACAUAAAGGAAAGCAUGAGGAUCAGUCAAGGAAAGAAAGUACGAUGGACCUCUUGCGAGUGUGUAACAAGAGAAAAUAAUUAGUAGAGUUCAUGCAUCCAUUUGAUUAUUCAAUGUAACAUCAUAUCAAUCAACGAUGCCCACAAUCCCAAAAUAGUAGGCCUUAGCUAUAUGAAUCCUGUGUAUCAAUUAAGUACUAUUUGAAGCUAAUACUCAGAGAAUAGUCAAAUUUUACAAUUAAUUAAUAACCGAAAGCAGCUUACACUUUUCUUUUAGACUUUUAGAACUCUUGAGUUUACGUGACAGCAUAAUUGUUGGUUGCUGAGUAAAAACGCUUGAAAUGCAUUCAGAUAAAGCAAUAAACUAGGAAUAGCAAACACAUGACAAUGAUCAGAGGCAGUGGAAAUGCAGCCCCCUAGAGCUAAAAAAAAUAAAAAGGGCAGCCUGGUGCACUAAGCUCCCGCUAUAUGCAGGGUCAGCACAAGGGCCCGACCACAAGGGUUUAUUGUACGCAGGCUCACAUGUUUAUUGUACGCAGGCUCACCUUACAUUUCUGCGAGGGGGUAGAUGGCAAAUACAUUUAGUUGAAUCUGAUUACCGAAGACAAGGAAAAAGUUUAGGGGGUAAUGUGUGGUUCUAUAAAGCAACCCAGCUGCUACCACCCACCUUCCCUGCCAUACUAUCUCUUUCUUUUUACUCAACUUUAAAUUCUCGAAAUCCACCCUCAUAAAGUGGAGUGAAAGUAUUCAAACCAAGUCAACUUGGAAUAGUUUGAAUAGCAUAAUCGCUGUAAGAUUGCAAGGACACCCUAUGCUUACCUGAGAAGACCAAGGAAAAAUACAGGUCCAUACCAAAAAGACCACAACAGACAGAUGGAAUAACUUUCAUCCCAUCCGGAAGACAAAUACAGACGCCCUCAAUAUGCAUUAAAAAGCCAUUAAAUGAGAUCAGCAGUUGCAUGAAAAGUAUCAGGUGCUAGCUGCUAAAUCACAAGUCUGAUAUAAGACGUCCUAGACCUUCUAUUUUAAACAAGGAAUGGAUUCAAAAUCUGGAAUAGGUACUUGUCUGGAACUAUAUACCCAAGUACUUUCGGAAGUUACUACAAUUCAACUCCUUCGGAAAGGAUAAUAAGGAGGGGUUCUCUAAUGGUGUAUUAUAACCCAAAGAAAAAAGACAUACAGGAAGUAUAAACAGCCGCGACAACAUGAUUCAUGGGAGGUACUCACUAGUCAACUUCCUGCAAAUAUGAAAACGGAUACUCGGCAAAGUUUAUGUGAACACGUUUGACUCGGUUGGGAGUCUAAGAAAUAAAUAAAAACAUUGGAACCUGUGAUCUUAACCAUAUCCUAACAUUUGAGGAGGUAUAAAAACUUCACAUUAAAGGUAACAUGGAAAAUUUUUAAUUAAAUUGUUUCCAAUUUCAUUGAGUCAUUCCUUUUCAAAAGGACUUAAAAGGAAACAUGUUAACAUAAACUAAAUCAUAGGAGUAGCUAAAAUGUGCAAAUGUUCACGUGUAAACGAAAUCUGUGACCAAAUAAAAAAUAGACUGUCUUGAUCAGCAUUUUACUAAGUUAAAAAGAAACCUACAUGUUCAACUCAAUUGUUGCAAACUCAGUAAAAAAUUUGCAAAUAUUCACAGGUAAAAGAAAAUCUGUGUGACGAAUUUUUUUUUUUUAAAAGACAGCCUUGAUCAGCAAUUUACAGAGUUAAAAGAGACAUCUACAUGUUCAACCCAAUUGUUGCAGACUCAAUAAACCUUCAUCUUUUAGGCAAAAAACUAUUUUUCAACCUCUCAAACAAAUGUCAGCUCCCAGCACAUAAUUGAAACUCUUAAAGCUACAGAUCUAUUCAAAAGUGAAGUACCACCAUUAAAUCCCAAAACAACGAACCACACACUGAUUGCACAAUCUGGUAAACUGAAUUAUAACAAUGAGUAUCAGAGACUAUCACAAAAGUAAGACCAGAUGAAGAGAAAAAAAUGAGGAAUUUAGAAUUGGGGAAUCAAAACACUUAUAAGACAGAAUUGCCUUAGGCCAUUGUAAUUCAGAUGGAGAACAAACACCAACCAACUCGACCUCCAUCGGUCUCCAGGAAUCAUCAAUCAACAACCCAAUUGGCAAAACACCUCACAACAACAGAUAUUCAAACACCAAGAAUGAAUACAUAUCCACAUUAUGUACAUACCACCAAGCUAAACUAUGCAAAAAGAUAAAAGCUUUACUUGCACCCACCUCGAGUUUUGAGCAAAUCUGGAUCCAAUUCAAAAACUGUUACUGAUAAGCAGCAAAAAAGGUACACAAUAGCUAUAUAUAUAUAUACCCCCAUCCCCUCCCACCCCAGCCCUACCCCCACCCCACACCCCAAUAGAAUUCAACUCUCCCACCACCUAUUUACCUACUACAAACGCAAAGGGAGGUUGGAAAAAUGCAUCCAAUACACUCCAGAACGUGGCCCUAAGCAGAACAAAAUCACGCGAGAAUACAGAUAACAAAAACGAAUAAAUUAAUAGAUAACAAUUCAAAAAGGCUCAGCACAGCGAUUAAUUACUUAAAUAACUAAAAAACAAAGCCAAGCACAUGACGCUCCUUGACAUCAAUCUGAGAUUCACCAUUAAUUUUAUCCAAUUAUUAUCAAAAAUCCAUCAAUUGUCCCAUUAUCCCCUCAAUUAUCAAAAUCCAUAAAUUAAACAAAAUAUAUAUAUAUAUAUAUAUAUAUAUAUAUGGAAUUCUUACCGGUGGGAAAAUCCAAUUAAUUAAAAUUGGACAAUGAAUGAAUGGGUAAGAAAAAGGUAAAAGGAGAGAGCUAGGGUUUUCUGGUUAAAUUAAAAAAAAAAAAAAAAAAAAAAAAAAAAAAAAAAAGAGAGNNNNNNNNNNNNNNNNNNNNNNNNNNNNNNNNNNNNNNNNNNNNNNNNNNNNNNNNNNNNNNNNNNNNNNNNNNNNNNNNNNNNNNNNNNNNNNAAAAAAAAGGAGAGAGAUCUGAGAAGGAAAUUGGAGCGCGGGUAUUGAAAAUGGAAAAAUGAAAAUUUGGGGGAAUUUUGGAUUAUUGGUGGAUAGAAAAUACUAAAAGAAAGCGAAAAAAGAAGGGGAAAAUGGUAGAGAGAGAAUGCAUGGGAUUGGUGGAGUCAUUUCUACGCUACUCUUUUUCUCCUUUCGACGGCAGUUACCCCUCAAAAUUUCACUUGCGGGUUUGGGAAAGUGCUAUUCACGCUCCCAUUAUUUCCUAAUAUGUUUUAUUAAGUUCUUUUAGUCGAGUAUAUAAGAAUAAUAUAAAAUAUAGUGUAUCUAAGUAAUAUUUAUGUUACUUAUGCUUGCAUUUGCUAUUCUUAUAUUUUUAUUAUAUAGUAUUUAAUUUGAUGUAUUAAAAAUAACAUGAAUUACAUAAUUUUUAAAAAAAUAUUAUAAAAAUACCCUCUAUAUAUUAUAUGUUGAAAAAGAUUCAGAAUUUUUUUUAAGAAAUGAUUGUAUUUUUAAUCAUACUAAUGCAUACAUUGGAUCCAUUAUAUUAUUAAUGUCACGAAUUUUAAGAUAUUAAUAAUACACACCAUAAUACACAAUAUAUAAGUACUAAUAAUGCACAUGCAUUAUUUUUUUAAUACGCCCUAUCAAACGACCACUUAUAGGUAAUUUGGUGGGAUGUAUUGAAAAAAAUAGUGCAUGCAUUAGUUAAUGUGUAUUAUGAGUACCUUAUUUUGUACAAUUCUUAGACUAUGUAUAAUCAAUACAAGUAUUAGUUAGUUACACACAUUAUUAUCUAUUGAGAUGUGUAUUAAUAAUACACCUUAUUUUCAAUGUAUUGAUAAGGCAAAGACUCUAAACACAUACAUUAACUUAUUAAAUUUCAAAUUUACUUCUCCUUUUUAGUUUUUUUUUUUCCUCUGAUCGGCUAUUACCUUCAUUUUUUUACUCUGAUUUGUAGCUAAUGCUACCUCCAUGAAGAUCUUCGCCUCUCGUACGAGCCACGAGCAUGUUCAUAAAAUUGACGUAUGAACUAGCGUACAACCCCCCUCGUGCAGCGAUUGUGAUCCCAAAAGUUAUAAGUGUGAGAGACUAGCGUUAGAUGAUUUCAAGCGGGGUAGGGGUAGAUCGAAGAAAUACUGGAGAAAAGUGCUUAGAUGUUACAUGGAGCAGUUACAUUUCACCGAUGACAUGACCCUGGAUAGGAAGGUUUGGAGGGAAAAUACUAGGAUAGAGGGAUAAGGUGGAGGGAUGAUCGUAGUUCGUAGUUAGGAGGGUUUUGACGUCUUUUGUUUGGUAAUGUACAUUAUUCUUGUGGAUGUUGUAUCUAUGUUAGUUUUAUCAUGUUUCAUGCUUUGAAUAUUUUUGUAUAUUAUCCUGUGUCGUGAGCCGGGAGUCUAUCGAAAACAGUUUCUCUACUUCUUUAGAGAUAGUGGUAUGAACUGCGUACAUUCUAGCUUCCCCAGAUUCCACUAGGUGAGAAUAUACUGAGUUUUGUUGUUGCUGCUAUUUCAAAAGGUACAAACAAAGAAGGAUAUUUUGGUAAAUAAAUAUCCACAUUAAAUGAAGUAUUAAUACUUACAUUAAUAAUACAGUGAUUACUCCUUAGUCUUAACGUACGUGUUGUUUGUUAAUGGAGAGAGUGAAGGCCACGUAUGAUGAGUGGUUAGCUGAUUGGUGUUUGCAUUUAGUUUGAGACGUGAGGUGCUUUCAUCCAACAUCGGGAAUCGUGACUGCCAGGCUAUACGACACGUCAGCUUUAGUUUUUUUCCGGAGGUACUAAAGCAUAUUCCUAUUUUAUGUUUUCUCACAUUUUUCCAGAAAAAUAAAAUAAAAUCUGAUUAAAAUUAACAAGUACUGACCCCUAGUAAUUAUUUUUGAGUAACCUUGUACUAAGAAAAACAAAAUUAAUUAACAUUAAAAGCAGUCAAUCUCCAUUAAGCUUGUACAAGAAAAUCAAUUUAUUAAUAUACAUUAUAUUCAUUUGACAAAAUUAUAAAAGUAUUUAUCUUUGUUGUACGGCAAUAAAAUAAGGUUUAUGUUUGAUCUUCAGAUGAUGAUGCAAAAUAUUGUGAUGUAAUAGUGGAAAAUGAUAAUAAUAUUUUCUCAGCAAAUGAAAUUGCCACAACCAAAAAAUUCCACAAUAGAAAACUAAAAGUUUGAAUAUAUAAAAUAUAAAACCCCCAUUUUCAAUAUUUUCCAAAAGACUAAUGAAAAUGUAUUUGAUACCAAUAAGUUCAUUCCAUUUUUACACAUUAGGUAGGUGAUCUCAUUAUUGGGUUUGAGAGAAUAGAUUUGACGGAUAUCUUAUUUCUAUUUUGUGUGAAUAAAAAGAUUAUUUUUGAUAAAUUUUGACUUAAAAAAAAAGUGUAAAAAAUAAAUUUAAAAUAUUACAAUACUGACAAAAGUUUAAAUAAAAAUACAAAGAAAAGGAGAAGUAUUGAUAGUAAGAUAAAUAAUAUGCCCACCAAACCAUCACUGCCCCCCUAACAAUGUUCCUAAGCAUUUAGCGAUUGUUAUUAUCAAUUAGUAUUCAAUUUGUCAAGAUAAUAACAUCAAAAGCUAGGUUAGUCAUAAUAUACUGCCUUAAUUCAAUAUUUUUUGAUAUAAUUCUUAGUUCUUUUUAUUAGCUUUUUUUAUUUGACCAUUCAGUAUUUAAAAUCUAUUGGCAUGACUAAUGUGUGUUGUGUAGGUCUCAUUUAAGUGCAAGCGCCUUUCAUAAAAAAAAAAAAUCAUCAUCAAAGCUCGAAUUCAAAAUUAUGUUUGAUAUGAAAGAACCUGUCGUAAAUGAAAAUUAAAAUUAAUUUAAAUAUAGAUUGAUCUAAAAUAUUAUGGAAGAGUCAAAGAAAUAUGGAUGAAAAAACGUGUAAAUGCGCGAGGAUUUACUUGAGUAGAAUUGUUUAUUAUUUUAAGUUCUUUAGAUUAAAAACAAUUCCUGUUUUUUUUUUUUUUCAGAAUUGCACAACCUCGUGAGCAACAAGUAAUAAUGCGUAUAAAAAAUAUCCCAACACAAGAGUGUCAUAAUCAAGGAAAUAAAGUAAAAUUACCAGUAGCAUUUAUCAUAAGAACCUUUAAUAACUCAUACUAUCUCAUUUAAUUAAUACUCUACUAAUUAGAACAGUAAUGUAGUAGAUAUGAAAAAAUAAUACUCAUAAAUAACGUUUUAUUCUAUUUUAAAAGAAUUGAAAGCAGCAUGAAGCCACUAAAACUGCUCAAGUUACGAGUUAUCAACUCUGUCAAGUUGAUGUUGGUAAUUGCUUCCUUAUACUGCUUAUGGUGUGCAACCUAAAUAUACUUGGUUCGUCCUCAUCGGCCAGCUGUUGGUGAAGAGGCUGAUCUCGGAAUUCUUGUAUUAUGGCUAUAUAUUUUUUCCUCCCUCACUGACUGUGCAUUCAAUCCAUGAACUCAUGAGAACCCCAAGAACUUAUGUCCUUAUGACUAAAUAAAAAUCAUAGUGACUAGUGACACAAAAAAUCUCGCAACAUUUUGCAGUUGAGGUUCUUUUUGGAGGGAAAAAAAUAGUGUGAUAGAAAGGUAAUUGGCUGAUGUUAAAAAAAAUUAACAGUGUUGGAGUGACGACUAAAAAUGCACCUCUUUUUAAAACCAGUCAAAAGAAUAUGUAUUAUUUUGUGUCUAGAGUAAAGAUAAUGUAUGAUUUUGAGCCUUAACUUGCAAUUGGAUCACCACCCCCUGUAUUAAAGCAUAUAAUUUCGGUCACAUGCCAUGUUAGCAGCCUGUCACAAUCCUCCUCUUUCCUGGGAAUAAAACUACAUCAUCAACUCACAUGAACUUCCCUUUCAUCUUUUAAGCAAUCACAGCCAACUAUGGAGGAAAAAGAAAUAGAAUCUAGAAAAGAAUAAAAGCUGGCCAAAUCAUUUGCCAAUGCCAAAAAAAAUGAAAAAAAAAGAACUAAAGAGGAAGGAGUGGGCUCAGCUUUUCCCCCCCUAAAUACAUAGAUGAAAUGUUAAAAGAUGAAAAUAAGUUGUUAAAGUAACAACCAUAGAUACCAAGACAGCAGAAAGAAGCUAAGUUCCAAAAGGAAAAAAUACGCAGAGCGGAAGGAGGGGUGGA